UAUUUUUAUCUGAAUGUUUACAAUAAUUGGUUGAGUGAAAAAAAAGUAUUUGUUGGCGCCUCAUUAUUUUCCAAAUCAAAAUUGAAGUGCGUAUCCUACAAUGUGGUGGGAUCCUCGAGAUUAUCAACUCUAAGUCGAAAUAUUCAAUUUCCUGACUCAAAUGGCAACGAUACUCGAUAUAGGGUAGAUGAAUCGAUUUUCACAGGGUAUUCACCCAACUUUUAUAUAAGUUGGUCAAGUACCUUCAGAACUCAAAUAUCUGCUUGAUUGAUAAAAUAUUCAAUUUGAAUAAGGGCCACUUUGACUGCCAAGUAUACCCAUCCGACGUUUAUUUUGUGUGGUUUUCUUGCAGCAAACCGGGAUCAUUUCCGGGGUGGCCACACAUUUUUAUUUUUUUUGCCAGAUUCGGUCCUGGUCGUCUUUUAUUCGUCUCAUGUACCCGACUGAUCAAGAUUAGUACUUACUUACUUGUUUCUCUUUUCCUUCUUUCUCUGGAAACCCGCAUUCUCGUGGUUUUAUUCCUGUCUUCGUUUCUAUCGGUGGUGUUUUCAUGGCGUUUUUUUUUAGCUGCGCCUGUUCUUAUUGUUGGGGUUAGACACGGCGUAACCCCAUCUGGGACGGCUCCCUUUACGGUAUCUCCCCUCGAAUUCUCGCUUGGCUCGUCGCUCGAAUCGUCUUUUCGCCGAUCGUCAGCUACCGCUCGCGUUCCCGAACCGGCAGAGCGCGGGUGCCUCGCUUCCCUCGGCGCCCGCCACCCCUAGACGGCUGCCGGAUGGGCAGAUUUGUACAGCGCGUUCCUCGCCGCCGCGGCGGUAUGCUGAUUCUGUUUCGUAUUUUCUCGCCACGCGGCCGCCGUUCGCGUGCCUUGAAUCUCUGGACGCGUUCCUCCAUUUCACCGUCGCGUUUCUCCCGAACCGCUCUAUUCUCCUUUCGCUCCCCCGGCGACCCGUCCACCACUCGCACGUGCCCCCUACGGCGCUCCUCGGCGCCCCGGCCGGGGAGGCGAACCCCGCGUGCCGGCUGACCGGAGCUGCUGCGACGCCGAGUGGUGAUAGUGUUCAUAUCUUUGAGGGACGUCCGUUGCCGGUUGUGAGUGUUAGUCUGAAGCUUUAGAUAUAUAAUCUUUGGGGUAUACUGGCUGUGUGAGUCGAGUCCGGAGCACAUCUUAUUGUCAGACACUCUACUCGGUUGUUUCCCAGGUCUUAUAUUAUCCAUCGGAGUCAGAUGAGAUAGAUGUAGUUAGGACCCAUAUGUGGUUCUUGUAGUUGGUUCUACUUAGCUAUUCCUGCAUUAGUCCGUGUAUGCCGCAUGUGUUGUGAGUGUGUGUGAGGGUUUCCUGUGAUUUUAGUGUGGAAAGCUCGCGGUUGAUCACCUAUGUGAACGUUUAUUCUGUGGCAUGUUCUCUGUAUCUGGUGAGCUGAGAGGUAGAUCUGUAUAUAGGUCGGGUCGUGGCUGUUUCCGCGAAUCGCAGCAUCUCUCUUUUGUUUUGGGAGUUCGUUUGGGGAAGGCUGCCGUCACCAGGUAGGGAGUUCUGAGGGAGUACCUGGAGUGAUUGGAUUCCGCGACUAGAGAACGAACUGGGUCGACUGGGGUUAGUCUUUAGAAUAUUACUCAGCAUGGACUUGUGACCGGAUUUUAUGCAUAUAUAACAGAUGAGUUGAUCUCAGGUUGGGAUCAGUUAUCGGUCAUCAAAUUACUGUGGUUUAGGACUGGUUUGAGUUCUGUUCAUCCCAGCUUGACGUUAUUAAGUCAGUAUUUGCAUAUGGUUGACGGAUGAUUGUCGAUGCUUCCGCGUGUCCAUCCUAGUUGACCCUGAGGGGUGCCGGUCGUGGUGUGCUUCUUACAAGUGGAACCUAUGGGGCGGGCAGAUAGGCUUCUGAUGGGGGGGGCAAUAAAAAAAGGAGGAUGUGAUCAGCUUGGGUUGCCCCGACCGGGUGAUCUUGACCAUAUUGCAAUGAAAUCACCCGAUAAUCAGUCGGCCAUUUCACGGAACACUGGGCGGCCUUUUCAAAAGGUCCACCGGCGAAGGACGUGUUACUUUUUCGAAACCAUCGCGUUGAUGGCCCCGAGGAUGACAACCAGGGUGUAGCCCUAGAGGCGUUAUAUGCAGGUGUAGGAGCGUGGUGGUUUGACUGUCGGGGGUGCUUGCGGUGCGGACUCCUAGGCAUGGCUUAGAGGUCUGCCGUUCUGCUGACGCAACGAAGCAUUGGUUUCACGAUUGUGGAAUUUACACAUGUACUUUUAGGACCCAUUUAUUCCGUGCUUGAUACGACCAUGACGGCAAUAUGUCCUAUAGUACGCAUCAUAUGCAUGCAUUUACUUAACACGUUCUUAUACUGUUUUAAUGUUCGUCUUGCUCCUAUUAUUUUAGACUGUUUCAUGAUUACGAUGCUUUAUCGUACAACGCUUCNNNNNNNNNNNNNNNNNNNNNNNNNUCGAAAUUAUUUCAGCGGUUGAUAUUAUCGCUCGUUCGAAUUUGGUCCGAAAAAGCUUGAAAACUCGAAAAUAUUAUAUAGGCUGGGGUACUUUAUAUGUUAUGAGUAUAGCCUUGUACUAUAAAUUUUUAACCGUUGAUUGAGGAUGGUAGUUAGGAUGAUUGGUGGUUCCCACAAUUAGAUAUGCAGAUGGUCCCUGGGUUGAGUGGGGUAGUUGGUUAAAUAGUAUUGUCUAACGGAUGAAAAUGAUUAUGAAAUAAAUCUUAAAGGGAUCGAAUACUUAUGAGUAUAAGGAGCAAUACUAUAAAAGAUAAUAUAGGAUCAUAUAUUAAUAAAUAAUAAAAUAAAAAAUAAAAAUUAAUACAAAAAAUAUAAAAAAUAUAAUAUAAAUAUAAUAAUAUAUAUAUAUAUAUAUAAAUUUUAAUGUAUUUUUAUUUAUUAUUAGGUUUAAUUUAAUUUGGGCAUUUAUUGUUGCAAAUAAAUAAACACAACAAGUACAAUCGAAAUCAAUUUGAGCCCAAUUCUAAAUUUACAUAAACACUAUUUUUCAGACUUUAAAUAUUGAACAAUAACCCAUAAUUAAAACAUUGAGAUAAUUAAAAUUUUUCAAAUCCUACUUUUUUUCUUCUUCUCAACAAGAACCUAUCUAGUCAGAGAAAUCACAAAUAGUACAUUUUUAUAUUGAUUUUGUUAUUUUUGCUAUUGGACAUGAUAUGUAUAAAAAAUUAUAGAUAAUGUUCUACCAAAAUAAUAACUAAUGUUAAUAUAGAUGUCGAGAAUUAAUCCAAUCGGAAUCUAGAUAAGAGUCUACGAGAUAAGCAUAGAACUCAGAAAUAUAGCUCGCUCAAGAGUCGGUUGAAUAAUUUCAAGCCAGAGCUGAGCUAGAUUUGUAGGCUACGAAAUAAUUUCAGACAGAAUAAAUUGAAAGCUAAUAAGACUCGCCAGAGCUAGCUAGUUCCACUACAUUUAAGGACCAGUUGUAAGAAUUGUCUCAAUAUUUUUAUUUCUAAUUAAAAACCAAAAAGGGUUGGAUAAAACUUUUUUGCCAAUAAAGGAUUGAAGAAAAUGCGAAUAAGAUUACAGGUACCUAGAGUUGCAAAGUUUAAUUGUAAAUAUUACAAUAUUAAUUAUCAGAUAGUAUCCAGAAUCUUGAAUUUUUGAAUAGAUUAUUUAUUUAAUGUCGAAUUAGCAUGUUUGGUUUUGAAUAAUGUAUGUAUGCUGAAUUGAAUUAUAUAAAUAUAUUAUAUAUAUACAUUACAGUUAUAAAAUUAAGUAAAUUUUGAACAAACCAAGUUAAUUAAUCCAAAAUAUUCUUAUAUUUGGCAAAAUUUUUUCUUGUUGUAUUACAAAUAAUAAUUUUUUUACUAAUUAUAUUUAAAAUAAUUUAAAUUUUAAAUUAACAUUUAAAUAUUUGAAAUUUUAAAUAUGAACUAAAAAAACGAUGAAAUAUUAAUAAUUUAAAAUUCAAAAUUUAAAAUUUAAAAUUUAAAAUAUAAAUAUAAAUAUAAAUAUAAAUUUUAAAUUUUAAAAUGUAAAUUUAAAAUUCAGAAUUUAAAAUCUAAAUUUGAAGUUUAAAGUUUAAAAUUCAAAAUUUAAAAUUUUAAUUUUAAAUUUAAAAUUUGAAAUUUGAAACAUAAACUUGAAAUUAAAAACUUUAAAAAUGUAAAAUUUAAAAUUUAGAAAUUAAAAUUUAAAAUUAGAAAUUUAAGAUUUAAAAUUUAAAAUGUAAGAUCUCAAAUUUAAAAUUUGAAAUUUAAAACUUAUAUUCUAAAAUCUAAAAUUUGAUAUUUAAAAUUUAAAAUUUAAAUUUUAAAUUUUAAAAAUAAAAAAUAAAAAUUUAAAUUUAAAUUUAAAAAUAAAAAAAUUAAUAAUUUAAAAUUUAAAUUAAAAUUUUAAAAAUGACGUAUUGAAAAGGUUUGGGAGUUCGUAGGGGGAUAAACUUAUAAUUUUACAAACAUACAAGAAAACCUGCCAUCAGUAAUACCAUGUUCUCACCCCCCACUCGGUAAUAUUUUCGGUGUAAAUGUGUAAUCUUGUAUAAUUUAUAAUGCUAAAUUACUGACUAGAUUACACAUUGAAUGAACCAAAUGUAAUAAACUUUGCAAAAUUACUUGUAAUUCUGUUAGCAUAACUCGAAUCAAACACACCCUAAAAGUAAAGAUAUAGCGAUAUCCCUUUACCAUAAGUAAUGCUAUAUAUACACACCAAUCAGGGUGUAUAUUUUACGUCUCACCCAUCUAAUAGAUGUGAUGAUUUUACUAGUCACUUGACGUGAGUAGCGAUUCAUUCCCACCCAUUAGAUGAGUGGAUUGUAACUUGUACGAGUAUCAUUUUUCUUUAACUAUUUGUUAGUUUGGAGCACGUUUCUCAACUUCAAUUUUAUUUUAAUUGACACCUCUUUUUAUUUUUUUUAUUUGAGUUAUUCUAGUCACUUUUAAGCUAUAUAUAUUUAAUUAAAUGUAAUAGCUCUAUUAACUAUUACUUGUUAAUUUAAACAAAUUCAUUAAAUUUAGGGUACCAUUUGAUUCAAAAUAGGAAUUAAAAUCGUAAAAUGAGAAUGGAUCGUAAUUGAAAACGAAAUGGUGACAAUUCCUAAUUUGUUUGAUUCAUAAUAACAAUUGGAAUCGGACUUAUAUUUAAAUUAAAAUUUAAAAAUUAAAUUUUAGUUAAAGUUUAACAAAUUAAAAUUUAAAAAUUAAAUUUUAGUUAAAGUUUAACAAAUUAAAAUUUAAAAAUUAAAUUUUAGUUAAAAUUUAAAUUUACUAUCAAGAUUUAAUAUUAAACAUCGAAUCUACAAUUCAAAUUCAAGUUCAAAGUCUAAAUUUAAAUUUAGAACCAAAUUUAAAUAUUAUAAUUGAAAUUUAAAACUAAAUUCAAACCCACAAUUCAAAUUCAGUUUUAAAAAUUAUAAUUUAUUUAUAAAAGUAGAUAUAUAUUAAUAUCUGAAUUUAAAUAAUUGUUGGUGAAAAAAAAAUUUGUUGCUCAAUUAUUUUCCAAAUCAAAAUUGAUUCGUACCUCAAUGGCGAGAAUCAUUAUGGAAAUAUUCAAUUUCCUGACCUCAAACAAAACUCCGAUAUAGAAAUGAAUCAUCCCAAAUAUUCAUUAUAAGGUUCAAGUCCUUCAAAUCAAAUAUGCUUAAUUGAUAAAAAUAUUCAAUUUAAAAAGGCCAAUUUGCAUAAAAAAUCCACUUAUUUUGGGCUUUUGCAAAACCGGGCCACAAUUUUCAUUUUUGCAGAUUCGGUCCGCUUUUUCGUCUGCCUGACCAAAAUACUCUUAUUACUUUUUCUCUUUCCUCUUUCUCUCUCCUCUCUGUUUCUAUCGUUCUGUUUUUUUUUCUCGCCGCGCUCGCCGUUCUCCCUCGAAUCCUCCUGCGUCGUCCCCAUCACCGUCGCGUUCCCGAACCGCACCCUCCUCGCUCCCCUCGGCGACCCGCACCCUGACCGCUCCACAGGCGCUCCUCCCGCCGCGCGGGCGUAUUCUGUUUUUUUCUAUCCGGCCUGUCGAGUCUAUCUCUAUCUCGCUGUCCGUCCCUAUCCUUCGCGUAUCCGAUACCCACAUCUCCCCGCCGGCGACCCGCACCCGUCGACGGCCCCCUACGCGCUUCCUUGCGCCGCGUGAGUUGCCGAGCACCCGCGCCGCGCGGAGACGCCUUGUAUAAGUCGAGUUGGCGGCGUUACGGCGUUGACAGGAGGUGCAUUCUGAUCGCACGGUGAUGGGACGGUCCAGAGUUGAUGGCGAAACGACGAGCCGCGGCUAGGAAAAAAAAUAAGACGAGCUAGAAUUUCACCAUUAACCGAUUACAUUGUCAACCAUUACCAUUACACUUUUACACCAUUAUAUUACACCAGUACACCAUUACCUUUUCACAUUACCCAUUACUAUUACAGUCAUUACACAUUUUACACCAUUACCAUUACACCUAUUAUUAACAUAUUACACCAUAACGAUUACCUCAUACACUAAUUACAUUGCCAAUUGACAUCCAUACUAUUACACCUAUUACCCAUUACAUUCUUAUACUAUUUCCCAUUACACCAUUACACUUACACAUUACACAUUACACAUUACACAUUUCGACUGUAGAAGAACACGCCGCGAUCUUUUUCAUUUCUUUUCUUUUUUCAUUUCUCUUCUUUUCCUCCUGCGGAGGACCUUCAUCUCCUUUCGAUUCACCUGAUGACGAGGGGCCCCUUCGCCGCCGCCUCGAGUGUGCGCACGGGCGGGUCGGCGAUGCUUCGUCGGACAGGAUGACGUUUAACACGCCUCAUCCUCGGCGGAGUCGCGUAACGACAAGCCCAGCAUCCCAUGUCUCGCUGCAAGUAAUUGUUCGAAUCUCGUCGGAUGGUGAGGGCUGCUCGGAGUGGUGCCCGCUGUUGACUCGGGUUUCGCCGCGACUGCAUCUGAUUUGUGACGAGCGCGAGCGGGCGACUGAGCGAGAAGUCGCAAGCUGGCCAGACUAUGCCCCAACCCAGUUCCUCAAGACGCUCAUUCUCCUCCACCAACGCUGUCGCUCCUCCUACGUUGGCGGCGGCGGCGGCGAAGGCGGUAGGGGUGGGGCCGAGGACGAGGAGGCGAGGGGGAGAGGGGGAGUCGGUCUAGGGCUGGGGUCCGCGGCGACGGGAUCGACGAAAGGAGGAGAAAAAAAAGAGGAGAGAGAAAAAUAUAAGGGUAUUUUGGUCAGUUUGCUGAAAAAGUGGACCGAAUCUGCAAAAACGAAAAAGGUGGCCCGGUUUUGCAAAAACCCAAAAUAAGUGGAUUUUUUAUGCAAAAAGGCCAUUUAAAAAAUCUAAAGUAAAAAAGAAGAAUAUUGAAUAGAGGGCCUAGUUGAGGAGGUCUAUUUAUAUUAGUUACUUUUUUAAAAAAAUUUUUCAGUUUUCGGCCCCAUGUGAAAAGUGAGGACUUUUAUAAAAAAUAAUCAUCUAAAAUUGUAUAAUUUGCGAAAUAACCAUAUCAAAUUCAGAUUUGGCAAACUAACUCUUGAAACACGGUGAAUCAUUCACCGCAUUCUAAAAGUCUCUAAGAUUUUUAAAGGCAGUGAAUCGUUCACCGCAUUCAUUUCGCAUUCAUUAAAACGGUGAAACGUCUUCUUCAUAAUUUUUUUAGGAAAGAGAAAAAAAUGAGGUUGUUAAAAUUGUACGUAUAUUGUACGUAUGUAAAUAAAAAAAAAAAGUAAGAUUGUUAGGAUUGUAUGUGAAAUAUUAGAAUAUUUGUUUGAUUGUGUUGAUGCCAAAAAAUCAACACGCCGACCUAACCCACGUAUAAGUCAAAGAAAUAAGGACACGUGAUACACCAAGAGUCGGCAAUAAAGCGCCUGAAGGUCAAGAGCGUUUAAAGGUUAAGAGCGUUUAGACGAGAACGAUUGAGAAGUGGGGCGUAACUUCCAAGAGAAGUGGGGCGUAACUUCCAUGAUCAUGACUACACCACUUCCCCCACUACUAUAACCAAUAACCAACCAAUAAUGUGGGCUGAUAAGAUAUUAUAAAUAAUAACUUUGAAGUCUAUAAUAAGGGUCUUUCUCUCCUCUCCUUUGAACGAGAAGACCACCGCAUUUUCAAUACUUUUCUUUCCUACAUUUAUUAUUUUCUAGGAGUAGUUUACAUGUAAUCUUUUUUACCGGCAUUUAUUGUUUUCUUAAAAGUAGUUUUUAAGUUAGAUCUUUGGUGCGUGUUUGGUUCAAAGUUGGAGUCGGAGUCAGAAUCGGAAUCAAAAUAAGCUGAAAUCGGAAUCGAAAUGACUCAUUACCAAAUUCUGUUUGGUUCAUCACCUGAAUCGGAAUCGGAAUAAAUCAUUCCCAUUGUCGAUAUUUGAUUCAGGUGGAUAUAAAAAACGUAAUCAAAUUAAUAUAUUAACAUUAUCUUUAUAAUAUAUUAAUUUAAAUUCAAAUUAAAAAUUAAAUAUUAAAAAUUUAUAUCAAAAUUUUGAAAUAAUGUCAAAAUUUUAAAUCUAUUUUUUUUAGAAAAAAAUUAAACUUUGAAGUUGAGUGGAUAAUUCAAAUUAUAAAACUAAAAUUUGAUUUAUUCAAAUUUAAACUAAAAUUACAAUUUAAAUUUUAAUUUGAAUCCAUAAAUUUAAUUUAAGUUUGAAAUAAAAUUUGAAUAAAACUUUAUAUAAAUUAAAAUUUAAUUUAAAUUCAAAUUCAUAAGUUAGAUUCGAAAUACUUGAUUAAAUUUUAAUUUUUAAUUUAAGUUCAAAUUAAAAUUUAAAAUUAUAUAUUUAAUUUUUAAAUUUUAACUCAUAUUGUAAUUAAAAAAGUUGAAAAAAUAAAUUUAAUCCGAAUAAAUAUCCAUUCCAUCCGGCCUCCUAGGCCGGAUUGAAAAAUGAGGUGAUUGGGGGAUUCUCAUUCCACUCGGGAAUCGUAAUCGGAAUGAGACCCCCGCGUAUCAAACACCUACAAACGGAUUCACCUAUUCCGAUUCCGAUUCCGAUUCUAUGAUGAAAAAAAAGCGAACCAAACACGCCCUUGGAGUCUAUAUGCCCCACGGGCACACUCUGUUAUAAUUUAGAUUUUCAGAGUCUGUAUGCCUUUUGGGCACACUCUGUUUUGUAUGAGUUUUCAACUUUAUUUUAAUAUAUAAAGGUAUUCGGCUCUUUCAGCCGACCAGUUAUUGUAUAUUCCAUCUAUUCGGCUUAUCAGCCGACCCAAAGUACUAUACUAUCCAUACUUCCGGCUCAUCCAGCCGAACCGUUUCUACAGUAGAGGAUUCGAACUCUACUGAUCCGAUCGCUCAUUAGCCGAAUCGCUUGAUCCAGUCGAAGGGCGCAAACUUUGAGGAUCACUAAUCGUAGCCGCUCCGCAUCCCUACACGCUUCUCAAGAAAGAUCUUUUACCUGGUCAAAGACAAAGGGAAUUCGGCCCCUGACAGAUUGUUAGGAUUAUAUGGAUAGAUUAUUAGGAUUUUUUUGAUUGUUAGGAUUGUAUAGAUAUAUUAUUAGAAUUUUCAAAGUUGUUAAGAUUAUAUGUGAUAUUUGAUUAUUAGGAUUAUAUAGAUAGAUUAUUAUGAUUUCUUUGAAUGUUAGGAUUGUAUGGAUAAAUUGUUAGAAUUUUCAGGUUGAUAAGAUUAUAUGUGAUUUGUUGAAAUAUUUAUGUGGUUGUUAGGAUUAUACAUAAAAUAUAAAAAUAAACAGUAAAUAAGAUGAAUGAUUUACAGUUUUUGUGAGAAAUUAUAAAAACGGUGAAUUAUUUAUCGUCUUUUUGAAGACGGUGAAUCAUUCAUUAUGAAAAUAGCUCCCUUAAAAAAAAAAGGAUUAUUUUUCAAAUAUAAUUUUGGCCGAAUUAUACUGCAAAUAAUAAAAUUUUAGAGGCUAUUUUAUAAAAAAAAGUCUGAAAAGUGGAAAUGAGUACGUAGCUCUUGAAAUAAACGAAAAAGGUAAAGCUUGGGCGCCAAGUUUGCCCACCAGAAUAAGGAUAGAGCUGACACUACACAACUUGGCGAGAUGCAAAAUUAACCGUCAGAUCAGUAUUACGUACAAUUGGUAAUUUUUCUUUUCAAAAUUGAAAAUAAUUUUUAAAAAACAAAACAGAAAAUUUUUUUGAAGCAGAUAUUUGGAAAAUGAGAAUCGGCUGUGAUCUCGGCAGGGGGUGAUCAACAAAAUUACCGGUUCCCUACUUUAUAUUUUUGCUCUAAAUAUAAUCACCGAGUGCGCAUUAAUUACUUUAACACUUCCACAACUUUUCAUCUCUUUCUUUUUUCUUUUUUUUUUUUUUUAUUUUUUUUGUGUGUUUUGUACGCUUCUCUCUCUCUUUGAAAGGAGGCAUGUUCUCCGCGUCGCGCUCUUUCGUCUCGUCUCUUUCCUCCUCCCUCCGUCCUCGUGUGCUGAUGAGUACGAGACGCUUAGCAUCUUCUCCUCCUCCGCCGCCGCUUCCGGAAACGCGCUUCGCCCCGAAGAAGGCGAUUCGCGCGAUGAGCCUGAGCAAGUUCGUCGCCCACCAAACCGCGUUCGCCUUGCGCCUCGCGCAGCGCGUGGCCGCCGCCGAGGCGAAGGAGGGCGCCAACGUCGCGUUCUCGCCGCUCUCCCUCCACGCGCUCCUCAGCCUCGCCGCGGCGGGGACGCGGGGCCCCGCCCUCGACGAGCUCCUCGCCGUGCUCACCCCCGCGGGCGGCGCCGGCGGCGCCACCGCUGACGACGUCGCCGCCCUCGCCGCCCGCGUCGUCGGCCGCGUCCUCGCCGACGCCUCCGCCGGCGGUGGGCCCCGCGUCUCCUUCGCGAACGGGGUGUGGGUCGACGCCUCCCUCUCCCUCAAGGCCGCGUUCGCGGAGAUCGCCGCCUCCGCUUACAAGGCGGAGAUCCAAUCCGUCGAUUUCCAAACCAAGGUUCGAAUCCUCGCUUUUUUUUUUUUCCUUUUUCUUUUUCUUUUUCUUUUUGUUGUUCGUUUAUCGAGUUAUUAGGGUUUUUGUGGGGUUUUAGCUUGAAUAUGCAUGUCUUAGGGGGCUUGGAUCAACCUAAAAGAUUGUUAGUCUCGUAGGUAGAGAUAUGGUGACAACCAUAUAUGGUGUCUAUUUUAACAUGCCCCCCUAACAAAGUCGAAUUGAAUCUUAACUGAAUCUAGGUUGAAAUAGAAGCAGAAGAAACUAGAUUAGAAAUGGAAAAGGUUCUGAUGCUAUAUCAAAUCGCAAUCGCAAUCGCAGAGACCAAUCCAACAGCUUAAGUUCGCAGUGAACAAACCACUCUGACGUUGUGAAGAAGAUUCUAAGUUUUUGUUUUUAGUAUUCUAGAAUUUGAGUCAGCUGAACACUGGUGAAUAUGUCUCUCGUCCAGUUUUGUUAUAUAUCUUGCUAUAAAAUUCUCACUUCAUUCCAUGCAUGCUAAUUUUUCUCUAACUGAGCUUUUUCUUUCUUUCUUUCAUUUUUAUCCUUUAGCCGCCCCUCUAGUUAUCUAUCCUGAAUUUGGAAUGAUAAGGAAUUAGGGAUUCUGGGUAUUGAUUAAGCUGGAAUUAUAUUGAUUUUUUUGUUAGUCUCGGUUUUGCAAAUCAACUUCAAUAAAUAAUACUUAUCUAAUUUUUUAAAAGACAAAAAUAUUUCUUCUGCUGCUAAUUUUACUUAUCAGCGAAAUUGUUGACAGGUAAACCAGUGUUGCAGAUUCGGUUUUUUCUCCCUUUGUUUUAAGCCAAUCUUAACGCUGCUGUAUUUGUUUAUUAACUUUUUUCCUUUCCUAUUGAUUUAGGCUGGUGAAAUUAUCGAUCAAAUUAACUCAUGGGUUAGUUCGGCAACAAAUGGUCUUAUAAAGAGUAUGAUUUCCGGCAGAGCUAUCAACCAAUUCACUAGGGUGGUGCUCGGUAAUGCUAUUUACUUUAAAGGGGCUUGGGCUGAUAGAUUCGACGCAUCAGGAACGGAAGAUGGUGAGUUCCACUUGCUCAAUGGAAAUUCUGUGCGAGUGCCCUUCAUGACGAAUCCGGAAAUGCAGUUCAUGUCUUCAUACGAUGACUUCAAAGUGCUUAGGCUUCCGUAUAGAAAAGGGAAUGAUAGGAGACAAUUUUCCAUGUAUAUUUUCCUGCCCGACGAUCGAGAUGGGCUAUGGAGUUUAAUUGAUAAGUUGAGUUCCGAUCCCGAGUUCCUAAACCGCCAUCUCCCAAAGCGGGAGGUCAAAUUGGGAGAGUUCAGGAUUCCCAAAUUCAAAAUAUCUUGCGGGUUGGAUGCACCUCGACUUCUAGAAGAGAUGGGAGUACAUUUGCUCUUCUGUGGGGACGGGGGCCUGACUGAAAUAGCCGAUUCACCCAUCACCGGCGGAACAUCGAUUUUGCACAAAUCUUUCAUCGAAGUUAAUGAGGAAGGAACCGAAGCAGCUGCCGCUUCUUUCAUGAUGCUUGGGGCUUGUUUCUGGGCGCCUCCUCCGGACUUCGUUGCUGAUCACCCUUUCUUUUUCUUGAUCAGGGAGGACACAACCGAAGCGGUGCUAUUCAUGGGCCACGUGCUCGAUCCCUCAGUGGUCGCGUAAAUAAUGAAUCCGUUCUCAGGCAUUUGGUAGUUUAUUCCAUCUUUUGUUUUUUUUCUCCCCUGAAUCAACUCUUUGGAGUCCAAAAAAAAAAAAUGUAUGCGAGACGCUUUAAGUGCAACUUUAUAGGUGUGUUUUUACAGUCGUUUGUGAGUGGUAAGGAAUAUUUCUCUUUGGUGCUGCUGGCGUUACUGUUUUGAUUAUUAUUAGAGCGCGUUUGAUUAUCCGAAAGUGGCAGAAGUGAUUUUUUUUUUUUUUUUUUUUUCAAUUCCAUUAUUUGGUUAGCUAUAAAGUGAAACAUGAAAACUAUAAUUUUAUAAUUUUGAUUCUUUAAACAAAUAACUUAUACUUACAAUUUAAAUUAAAAAUUUAAAUUUAGAAUUUAAAAUUUUAUUCUUAAAAUUAAAUUUAAACUUAAACUGAGUUGAAUUUAUAAAUAAAAUUUAAGAACAUUUAUUCAAAUUUUAAUUCAUAAUUUAAAUUUAUAAUUUGAGUCUUAGUUUAAUUUACUUUUUAAUCUCAAAAAAUUUUGUAUUCAAAUAUGAAUUCACAAAUUAAAAUUUGAGUUUAAAUCACAAGAAUUGAAUAUUUGAAUUCAUAAUUCAAAUUCAAAGUUCAAGCUGCGAUCAAUAUUGAAAUUAAAUAUAAAUAGCAAAUUUUAAUUUUAAUUUCCACUUAAAAAUAAAAUUUUAAAUUUAAAUUUCAGUCAAUAAUCUAAAUUUAUAAUUAGAACAAUUUGAAUUCAAUGUUCAAAUUGAAGUUUUUAGCAGAAAAUAAUCUGAUUAAAAUUUAAAUUUUAAAUUAAAUUUAAAUUAUAGAAUUCAAAUUUGAAUUAAAAAUAAAUAUUUAAAUAUUUAAAUUUAAAUAUAAAGUCAUAAAUUUGAAAUUAAAAAUUUUAUGUUGAAUUUGAAUUUACAAAUAAAUUCAGAAUGUGAUCUAAAUUUAAAUUCUAGAAUUCAAAUUUAAAUAAAAAUAAAAAUUUAAAUAUUUAAAUUUAAAUAUAAAGUCACAAAUUUGAAUUUAAAAAGUUUUUUGUUAAAUUUGAAUUUACAAAUAAAGUUUAGAAUGCGAUCAUGAUUUUAAUUCAAAUUUAAAGUAAAAUUCAUAUUUAAAAUAAAAUUCAAAGAUUAACGUUAAGACCAAAUACAUUCUUUUAGCUAAACUUUCUAAUUUCGGUGACUUUUGAUGUCACGCCCCGGAUUGCACGAAGCAAUAGCUGUACCUGUAAACAAAACCAAGCUACAACCACAAGUAUGGAGCUGCUAAGCAAAACAAAUAUAUAUAAAACAUCAUGACUAUAGUACAUACAAAAGCUACGAACCAGCAACUAACAUCUCGCUCCAGUGAGUAACUAAACAAAGAGCAUGUACAUGUACAACACUCAUAACUACCUCUGAAGGGGCACUCCGCUAGCACGACGACUGAGAUUGAUAGGGAUCUAGCUCGCAACUCCCUUAUCAUGAUCAGUAUUAGCAACAGCAGCAGCCGUAGACGAAGGCUCUGCAAAAAGAGAUCAACAACUUGGUGUGAGAAUUACUACAAAAGAAAUAGUCCUCAAUGGGUAGCGCUACCGACCUCAACGGCUCACCCACUAAGUCUACAGAAAAUAUGCUCAAGGAUAGUAAAGGAAGCUGGAAAAACUCUACAGCUACAUGCCACUAUACUAUUGCUAACCAACACUAGCUAUCUAUAGAUAUAGGCAAGAUGCAAUCUCUGACCCAAUCUCACUAGGAACUGUGAAUACACCCGUCCCGCCUGUCGAAGCUACACCAACUACCACCACGCUGGGUUGUUGGUGGCGAGCAAGUCCAACUUAGACAUUACGUCAACAACGCAAAAGCACUAAGCCCGACUCCAGAGCGGCACUCGUGGGCGCUACCCAACUGAGUAUGCAAGCGUGUUUCUGCCAAGUUCAAUCAGGCUCUCACAGGCUAUAAUCAAAACAAAUAGGUUUAACUGGUCUACAACCAAAACUCACGUGCCCUUGACAAUAUCUGAUGCAAAUACAGAAAUCUGGGUCCACCGUCAACCGCGACGGCACUUGACAGUCCGAAACAAUCUACACACUAUUGUAAAAUAAGCUCGACAUCCCAGCACGAGCGUGAAUUCAUCCUACACUAAUUUGAGUAUCCAUUGCAUACUAACAAUGAUGAUACAAUAGAACCACAGAUCCUAAAGCUAAAUCUGGUAAUUUUCAGAAAUGACAGUGUAGGUUCUAAAUAUUUUCUCCUAAGUCAAUUCCAAGUCCAACAUGUAAAAUUAAACUACUAGCUUAACUCCAAAUUCAGAUUUAAACACUAAUCCAUGAAUUUGAUACUAGCAAGAAAAAUAGACGGAUAAUACAUGUCGACAAAUACUAAAACUUAGAAGAUAUUCCGACGAUUUCGGUAAACUUCAACCCACCUUAAAAUGCUCGUCCAACAACGGCGAGAAGUCGAAAGGAGAGGAAAUCCCGCGCUCGCCCGACCUCCAACGGCGCUACCACGACGCACGCACGCUCGAACGGCUCUCCGGCGCAACGUCGACAUCGAUCCGAGCUCUAACCGUGGCCUCCACCAAGCACAUAACUAAAGCUAGAGAGAGAGAGGAAAAUGAUAAUUAAGCUCCUUCAUUGCCUCUCUAUCCUAAUUAAAGCGGUGGGGAUAAAAUUGAAAGGAUCGAGACAACAAAAGACCAAAAGGCCCCUCACCUACUCAAACAUCCAGUUGGAGUACCGGUACCAGCCCGAUGCCGUACCGGUACUCAGCAUCAAUUAUCGCAACCCGAGAGCAGCAGUUCGAAAAUUACACUGGGGUAUCGGUACUCCCCUACGUGGUACUGGUACUCAAUACUGAAAAUCUGCACUUUGCCGAUUUCAAUGCCAAAACUCUGUUAUCGCGUCGCGCUGAGUUCGUUUUGUGUCCAUUUCGUGCCAAAACGACUCGGACUUGUCCCGACACUCUCCAGAUAUGUCGACAAGUCUCUGCUCCUUUCUCCACAAUCAAUGCCCGAUUCACCACCUCCCUAUAAGUCGAUGGGUUUGACGCCUGAACCAACCUGAAAAUCGUAGGUCGCAAACCUACCUCGAAAAUACGGGCCUUAUCCCCAUCAUCCCUAACCACGAAAGGAACACAAUGUAGUAGUUGAGAAAACUAUCGUUCAUACUCAACCACUGUCCUAUCCUCCUGCCUCCAAUUUCUCAGAUCCCUCUCUAUCUGUCUCUUUACACUCUGUGGAAAGUAAGUUGUCAACAGUAAUUCCUUAAACCUCUUCCAAGUGAUCAUAGAUAAAUCAGUAUAGGGAUCCUCGCGAAUAUCUAACAACCACCUGUAAGCCUCGCCAUCCAUAUGGUGUGUCGCAAACCAGACUCGGUCUCGCUCCUCUACAAAGGAAUCGUAAAAUAACUUCUCCAUAUGCAUCAGCCACUUUUCGACUAUCCAGUGAUCAGCUUUUUCACCGUCAAAUACACGAGGAUUGCAACGGCGAAAUUCAUUCAGUCGCUCCAUCAUCUGCUCUCGCUCCUCGGCCCUUACCAUCUCUGGUAGCAUUGCCCCUGUCGCAGCCACAGGCACUGGCGGUGGUACUACUGCCUUCUGCCGGGCCUCUACCCUCGGGGCUGCAUGUGAAGUAUCUGGUGCUGAUGGAUGUGCUCCUGCAGUCGUAUCCCUCUUUGGUACUGCUGGCGUAGGAUCUGGAACCUUUCUAUCCGUCGUCUACCGCAGUAGCAAAUCCUCCAACCUCUUCAUUCUUUUCUCUUGUCGGCGUGCGACAUCCAUCUGCUGUCGGGCUGCCGUUGGCUGUUGUGUCACUAAAUCUGUAAACACUGCAAGCUGAUCUUGCAGCUCACGAACCUCACUCGAUCCAGAGGUAGCAGUAGUCUCCACUUCCUCUGCAUCAGCGGCUUCAGCCGCUCCAGCUGCCAUAGAACGAGUCGUAGGCAUCUUAAUUGGAACAAAACAAACAUGGAUUAAUAACACUUACACUAUUAACCUCCACUUCAUAUAUUAACCACCCAUUUAAACGAAAGUAAUGAAAUGUAACAUAUACUAACUUUAGAUGUCACGUUGUCGGCCGCCAACAUGUCCCUCUGCAAAGUCAGCAAUUGUACGUUUCAAUCAAACUCCUACCAUUCGGAGUUUAUAAUUUACCCAAUAAAAAUACUUUCGCUAAAACUUAACUAGACCUCGUCUCUCAUGAACCUAUUUUUAUAAUCCAACCAGCCUAAGAUUCGCUAGGUCCACUAAGACUCAACCCUAGGCUCUGAUACCAUUAUAAUCUGUCACACCCGAGUAUCAGUGGAAGCCUACCCGGUACAUGUACAGAUCCGCCAUACACCUGCAGUAUAUAAGGCAUUUACAAAGAAGCAUGUCGAAAAAGAGAAAACAUAGAAGAAUUCUAACCUGAUAUCAAAGCAAAGUAUAAGUCGAUAAUACAACCAUCAGAAAACAGUAAGUAUAAACAGCUCAGAUUCUCAAUUCCACAGGAAAACACCAAAACUGUAAUCUCUGAUUCAAAUCACAUAUACAUCACAGGGUACACAAAAUAUAUGUACAAUGGUAGUCUUUCUAUAUACGGGGACAUCACCCUUGGCCGUAGCCCGAGUAGCAAGGUGAUCAUCUAGUCAAGCUCCAAGCUAUAUCUAGUUAGACGCGACUCCCUUGCCACGAUCCCUAGCCUCUCCUGUUGAUGGCUCUGUAAAAACAACAAUAAAAAGGGCGUGAGAACUAUUCAACAAUAGUUUCCAGUGGGUAAGCCGCCAGCCUCGGCGAAUUACACCACUAGGCUCAUGAUGAUAUACUAAAGAAAAUGUAAGCACAGUUAUAACAUGUAAGUUUUAUCAACAAUAAAGAACUAUGAAAUUGUGUCAUGCUGUCAGAUAUAUUUAUCAAGUAAAACGGGUAAGGUAAUCGCAAUGUACUUGAAUAUAUCAAGUAGAGAUGUAAUUGUAUACUACUCAAUGAUAAUCACCUGUUGUUAUCAUUUAAUAUAUAUUGAUUUAAUUUAUAAGGACCUAUUCAAGGUAGUCAAGCUUGUGCCGCGCCUAAUGGCCCCGUGGUAGUAUACACUCUCCACGGCAAUCCAUUUCGGCACCCAAUCCCGCACGGGCGAGCAAUCUAUCGUGUAGGCCAACUCCGGAGUGCCGGCUUGUGGGGAGCGACCCUCACAAGCAUGUGCGAAUGAGCACAAUGGCCAGCAAACAUAAUUAAUAGUUUAACAAUUCUCAAUUGUCAUGUCUAAACAUAUAAGAUUCUUACUCUCGACCUUUAGGUCAGAUUUCAACAUAGCAGGUUAGUAUCCACCAGAUUAAAUGAUUAGGCAAAGAACUAUAAAAUUACAUAUGUCACUUGCAUCAACUACUAGUCAAUGACAAUGCAUGAACAUACUAUUAACCGAGACAUAAAUUGAUCACCUCAUCAUUUAUUGCUUAUGCAUUUAAAAUGAAUAAGAAGGCAAUCAUUCAUGAUUCACGUAGUUACGCCUAAUUCAUAGUUAUAUAGCAUCAUAUAGAACAUAGAAGGAAUCCACUUGCUCUGGUGAGGUCAAACCCACCUACUAAACGAUGCCUCUUGUCAAUCUCACACGGUGAGCAAUUCAAGCAUCCAGGUUCCUAAUUCAUGAGUCAAAAUCAGCUACAAGCUGAAUUAGAUAUCUAUAGCAAAAUCUCACCUAUUCAUCGAAUAGGUAGUAAUUACUUACCUAAGUUAAAAGGGAGAUUAAAUCCACUCUCCAAUGUAUGUAGAAGCUCCCCAAAACUCAGCUCAAACCUGCUCAAAUGAGUCCCGAAUUCAGCUCAACCAGGUCUUAACCCUGCUGCGAUUUACUUAUAAAACUGCAUCGAAAUUUAUAUCAAAACAUUCAUUUUCAGCAACAUUUUCCCUUAUACCCGGUCACAGCUUACACCCUUGUUUUGGUUCAGGUUAGCACGCUCAAUUCCAUCUCCGAAGGCUCUCAAUAUAUAGCCGAAAGUUAUCCAUUACCCUGUUAUAAAUCUGCUGCGUAUUAGCUUCAAAACUGCAUCAACAUCAUUACUAGAACACUCUAAUUCAACCUAAUUCUCACCUAGGUUCAGCGCAGUGUUAAUCCUCCACCUCGACUCCGGUUACACAUCUUAAUUCGGCUCAUAACCAUUCUUCAAAUCAGCUCUAAAUGGAUAACAUACAGCUGAGAGCAUCAGCCCAAAAUCAGCAUCUCUACUCUAUCUUUACAUCAUAAAUAUGAUAAAUAUAAGAUAGAUAAGGAACUACUCACAUUCUCCAAGUUCAAUUCAGCUUUCUAGGAAAUUAUAGUAGAAAAUUUCAGGAGUUAAACCCUUCUCUAGCUGUCUUGUGGCUUCUCCCAAUUCAGCUAACAAAACAAAGAACCAAAUCCUACUUAACUCCAUCAUUAAGCCUCAAACUAAAUAGUAAUUAAGUAAUAUUACCUUUCCAAAACCUCAACCAGCUAUAAGAGUGUGCAAGGUCACGAAAUACCCCUUAAUACUCCUCAUUCUUUUACCCACAGCAACUCCAAAACAGUCCCUGCCAGUAAACAUCAAGCAAAGAGAUGAAUCAAGCUUAAACCCUUGAUUCCUUAUAGAGAUAGAAAAAUUUCCUAGAGAGAGAGAAAAGGAAACCUUCAAACCCACUUUGCUGAGCUCAAGGAUGCUUAUCCAAGUUGCAGGGGUCGAGCUGGGGUUAAAAGGGAUAAGCUUGAUGAGUAAAAAGACCAAAAAGGGCUUGCUGCCACGCAACUGCUGUCUCUACUGCUUGCUGUACCGGUACAGACUAAGGGUUGUACCGGUACACCAAUGUAGAAAAUGCAAAUCUCAAGAUUGCAAUGCACUUUCUCGCUUCCCACAUUCCGAUCACUCUCAAACUUAUUCAUAAUUAUCUUUAAACCCUUUACAACAUAUGGAAAGGUUCCAAAUAUCAUUCACCUUACUCGAAUUUCGCAAUUUGCUAAAGUUCAAUUUACUACAAUAAUUAAAAUUUAAAAAUAAAACUCAAACCCACAAUUCAAAUUCAAUUUUAAAAAUAUAAUUUAUUUUAAAAAAAUAUAUAGAUUAAUAUCUGAAUUUAAAUUAUUGUUAGUGAAAAAAAAAUUCGUUUCUCAAUUCUUUUCCAAAUCAAAAUUGAUUCGUACCUCAAUGGUGAGAAUCAUUAUGGAAAUAUUCGAUUUCCUGGCCUCAAAUAAAACUCCAAUAUAGAAAUGAAUCAAUCCAAAUAUUCAUUACAAGGUUCAAAUCCUUCAAAUCAAACAUGCCGCCCUUAAUAUUCAAUUUAAACAAUGUAAAAUAAAACGAAGAUAUUAAUUAUAGAAUGUUGUGUUGAAUUAAAAGGGGCUAGUUCAGGAGUCCUAUUUAUAUUAGUUACUUUUUCUUUAUUUUCACUUUCUGGUUGGCUCGUGUAUGAAGAGUUUUUUUUUUUUUUUUUUUUUUUUUUUUUUUUUUUUUGAGGGAGAGAUAGGUAGCACGCUGUCCGCUUCAUUUAUUUCAUUUAGAAAUAAACUUAGCCGGAAAUGUGAUUCAAUUAGAAUUCAAAUUUGGAAUCUCGGUACCAACCAUCAAAUCUUUGCCACUUACUCAAGAGACGGUCAGUCUCUUAUAUAAAGAGUUGACAUGAGUUCGUAGUUCUUACAACAAAUAAUACGGUGAAAGUUUGGGCCUCAAGUUUUGCCUGCUAAAAUAAGGAUACAAUUGAAACUACACAACUUGGUGAUGCAAAAUCAACCGUGAGAUUAGUAUUACAUACAAUUGGCAAUUUUAUUCUCAAAGUUCAAAAUAAAGUUUUUUUUUUUUUUUGAAAAACAAGGGGAAAAUUUUGAAGCAGAUAUUUGGGAAACGAGAAUCCCUGUUAUCUCGGCCGGUUGUUGACAAAAUUACCGGCCCCCUGCUUUGUAUUUAUGCUCUAAACAUAAUUAAUUACUUUAACCCUUUCCGCAACUUUUCAUCUCCUUCAUAUUAUUAUUAUUAUUUUUUUUUUUCUUGUGUGUUUUGGACCCCACUCUCUUUGAAAGGAGGAAUGUUCCCCGCGUCGCGCUCUUUCCUCUCGUCUCUUUCCUCCUCCCUCCGUCCUCGUGCGCUGGUAAGUAAGAGAUGCUUAGCAUCUUCUCCUCCUCCGCCGCCGCUUCCGGAAACGCGCUUCGCCCCGAAGAAGGCGAUUCGCGCGAUGAGCCUGAGCGACUCCGUCGCCCACCAAACCGCGUUCGCCCUGCGCCUCGCGCCGCGCGUGGCCGCCGCCGCGGCGGAUGAGGGCGCCAACGUCGUGUUCUCGCCGCUCUCCCUCCACGCGCUCCUCAGCCUCGCGGCGGCGGGGACGCGGGGCCCCGCCCUCGACGAGCUCCUCGCCGUGCUCGCCCCCGCGGGCGGCGGCUGCGGCGCCACCGCGGACGACGUUGCCGCCCUCGCCGCCCACGUCGUCGGCCGCGUCCUCGCCGGCGCCUCCGCCGGCGGUGGGCCCCGCGUCUCCUUCGCGAACGGGGUGUGGGUCGACGCCUCCCUCUCCCUCAAGGCCGCGUUCGCAGAGAUCGCCGCCUCUGCUUACAAGGCGGAGAUCCAAUCCGUCGAUUUCCAAACCAAGGUUUGAAUCCAUGCUCUAUGAUUUUUCUUCUUUUUUCCCUUUUCCUUUUCCUUUUUCUUUUUCUUUUUCUUUUCGUUGUUCGUUUAUCGAGUUAUUAGGGUUUAAGCUUGAAUAUGCAUGUCUUGGGGGGCUCGGAUCAAUCUAAAAGAUUAUUAGUCUCGCAGGUAGAGAAAUGGUGAGAACCAUAUCUGGUGCCUAUUUUAACAUGCCAAUGCCAACAAAAUCGAAUUGAAUCUUAACUGAAUCGAGGUUGAAAUAGAAGCAGAAGAAACUAGAUUAGAUUAGAAAUGGUUCUGAUACUAUAUCCAAUCGCAAUCGCAGAGACCAACCCAACAGCUUAAAGUUCGCAGUGAAUAAACGCCUAAUUUUUUUUGUUUUUAGUAUUCUAGAAUUUGAGGCAGCUGAGCACUGGUGAAUAUGUUUCUCUUCCAGUUUUGGUUAUUCUAUGUCAUUUGUGUUUGUUUAUCAGUUUUUUUUUUUCUAUUGAUUUAGGAUGAUGAAAUUACCGAUCAAAUUAACUCAUGGGUUAGUUCAGCAACAAAUGGUCUUAUAAAAAAUAUGAUUCCCGAUGGAGCUAUCGAUCAAUUAACUAGGGUGGUGCUCGGUAAUGCUAUUUACUUUAAAGGGGCUUGGGCUGAUAAAUUCGACGCAUCAGGAACGGAAGACGGUGAGUUCCACUUGCUCAACGGAAAUUCUGUACUAGUGCCCUUCAUGACGAAUCGGGAAACGCAGUUCCUGUCUUCAUACGAUGACUUCAAAGUGCUCAGGCUUCCCUAUAGAAAAGGGGAUGAUCGGAGACAAUUUUCCAUGUAUAUUUUCCUGCCCGACGAUCGAGAUGGGCUAUGGAAUUUAAUUGAUAAGUUGAGUUCCGAACCCGAAUUCCUAAACCGCCAUCUCCCUAAGCGGGAGGUCAAAUUGGGAGAGUUCAGGAUCCCCAAAUUCAAAAUAUCUUACGGGUUGGAUGCAUCUCGAGUUCUGAAAGAGAUGGGAGUACAUAUGCUCUUCUGUGGGGAUGGGGGCCUGACUGAAAUAGCCGAUUCACCCAUCGCCGACGGAACAUCGAUUUUGCACAAAUCUUUCGUCGAAGUUAAUGAGGAAGGAACGGAAGCAGCUGCCGCUUCUUUCAGGAUGCUUAGGGGUUGUUGCAGGGCGCCUCCUCCUCCUCCGGACUUCGUUGCUGAUCACCCUUUCUUUUUCUUGAUCAGGGAGGACACAACCGAAGCGGUGUUGUUCAUGGGCCACGUGCUCGAUCCCUCUGUGGCCGCGUAAAUAAUGAAUCCGUUCUCAGGCAUUUGGUAGUUUAUUCCUUCUUUUUUUGUUUUUUUCUCCCCUGAAUCAACUCUUUGGAGUCCAAAAAAAUGUAUGCGAGACGCCAUGAGCGCAACUCUAUAGGUGUGUUUUUAAAGUCGUUUGUGUGUGGUAAGGAGUAUUUCUUGUUGGUGCUGCUGAGGUUACUGUUUUGAUUAUUAUUAGAGCCACGUUUAGUUAUCCAAAAGUGGCUGAAUUGAAAAUACUUUUUUUUUUUUUUCUUUCGCUAAAUUACAAAAAAACCAUUCUAUCAAAAACUGAUUUUUUACUUUCCUCCCUGUCUAUUAAAAUCUACACAUUGCCCCCCUAAAAAAAUAAAACAUCGGGUUUUGAAAGGGAGGUUUUCUGUAAUUUAUUUUUUUUUUUUUUCAAUUCGAUUAUUUAGAUACAUAUAGAGUGAAACAUGAAAAAUAUAAUUUUAUAAUUUUGAUUCUUUAAUUAUAGUAAAAAAAGUGAAAAUAUAAACAAACGACUUAUACUCACAAUUUAAAUUAAAAUUUGAAAUUUGAAAUUUAAAAUUUUAUUCUUAAAAUUUAAAUUUAAACUUAAAUCAAGUUGAAUUUAUAACUAAAAUUUAAGAAAAUUUAUUCAAAUUUUAAUUCAUAAUUUAAAUUUAUAAUUUGAGUCUUAGUUUAAUUUACUUUCUGACUCAAAAUUUUGUAUUCAAAUAUGAAUUCACAAUUUGAAUUAAUAUUUAAAUUAAAAUUAAAAUUUGAGUUUAAAUCACACGAACUGAAUAUUUGAAUUCAAAAUUCAAAUUCAAAAGUUCAAACUGUGAACAUUAUUGAAAUUAAAUAUAAAUAGCAAAUUUAAAUUUAAAUUUGAAUUUCAACUUAAAAAUAUAAAUUUUAAAUUNUUAAAAUAAUUUAAAAAUAGAAUUUAAAUUUGAAUUAAAAUAAAUAUUUAAAUAUUUAAAUUUAAAUAUAAAGUCAUAAAUUUGAAUUUAAAAAUUUUAUGUUGAAUUUGAAUUUACAAAUAAAUUCAGAAUGUGAUCUAAAUUUAUAUUCUAGAAUUCAAAUUUAAAUAAAAAUAAAAACUUAAAUAUUUAAAUUUAAAUAUAAAGUCACAAAUUUGAAUUUAAAAAGUUUUUUGUUAAAUUUGAAUUUAUAAAUAAAAUUCAGAAUGCGUUCAUGAUUUUAAUUCAAAUUUAAAGUGAAAUUCAACUUUAAAAUAAAAUUCAAAGAUUAAAGUUAAGACCAAAUAUAUCCUUUGAGCUAAGCUCUCUAAUUUCGGUUACUUUCGAAUUUUUUGAGCCAAAGUAAAAAGUGUGAGAUUUAAUUAUAAUUCAUUUAAUCAAUCCAUUUUUGUAAAAUGUCUUUCAUAUUUAUUUUCGCUACGCAAACAAUUGAUAUGACAUCACUUUUUAAAAUAUCACUUUCGGUACUUCACUUUCGGCCAACCAAACAUGCCCUUGGAAUCACUACAACGAUAUACUUUGUAACCCAAGUACUAGCGACUUGGUCUAUUGGGCCUCUUAUGCCCAUCGGGGUUUUUUGCAUCAGCCCAAUUAAAAUGUCACGUUUAACUCACGCGAUGUAGAAUUGACGUCUGAUAUUAUUAUGGAUAUUGCGACUUUGUUCUCAGAAUUGUUUUUCUUGUUUACCUGCUGUUGAAUUUUCAAGAAAACCCAAGUCUAGAAUGCAAAAGGUAAUUUUAUACACUUAUAAAAUAAUAAAUUUACCAAAAGAAAAAAGAAAUUAGAGAAGAAAUAUUACAAUUAUAAUUUUCAAAUGUUUGAGAACAGAAGUGUUAACGUCAAGAGUUUGUUCAUGCGUCAGUCUCAACAUUGGAGCGUUGCAGGGACUAUCAAUACAUUUUUAGAAAAAAAAAAAUCUAUAAAAUCUUUCAUUUUUAUUCCCAAAAUGGCCUUGAGGGAAUCCAUCGCCCUUCAAACUGAGUUUCCCUUUGUUUUAGGCUUGUUUGGUUUUACCAAAAGUGGCCGGACUGUAGGCCUAAGUGAACUGUGGUAAAAGUAAAGUUCAGAUAAAAAUUACUUCUUUCCAAAGUUGUUUGGUUUUACAGUUAUGAAAGUAAAGUUUCUUCAAUUCUAUUAUUAGCUUGGUAGAAAGUGAAUGACGUUACAAUUAUAAUUUAUAUACAUAAAUAACAAAUAAUUAGAUAAAUAGUAAAUUAUAAUAUAAUAAAGGCCUUUUUUCAUAAAAAAUCUACUAAUUUUGGGCUUUUGGAAGAUUGGAUCGUCUUUUUCGAUUUUGUAGAUUCAGUCCGGAGUUUCAGCAAACUGACCAAAAUACCCUUAUUAUUUUUUCUCUCUCCUCUUUUUUUUCUCUCAUUCUUUUUUUCUCUCUCUGAAAAAGGCAGUGGAGGCGGAGGCGGAAACAACCUGCCUCGCCUCUGCCCUGCACGCCCUCGCUCUUGCCCGUGCACCCCCGCCCUCGCAUCCGACCUUGCUCAGCCGCGUCGCGACCCCCUUCUUCAUUAGGGCACGACAACUUCGAGGUGCAGGCUUUUCUCCUCCACGGCGCAUCCAAACGCCGCGACGUUGUCAGAGGCGACGAGAUCGCCUCCGACGACGUCGCCGACAACGCCGCGAUGGUUACGAUAGAGAGCAAGGAAAAUGUGGUGACAAAAAAAUAUAUAGAAAAAAAAAAUAAAAAAAAAUAAAAAAAAUCUUUUUCUUACAGAAAAGAUCAAAAAAUAUAGAUGAAGAAAAAAGAUGAUGAAAUUACAAUGUUAAAAUAUGAUUACACUGUUUUUAAAAAAAAUUACACUGUUUUAAUAAAAAUUGCACUAUUUGAUAUACAAAUUACACUCUUUUAAAAUUAAUUUUACACUCUUUAGAUUAAAAUUACACUCUUUAAGAAAAUUUUGCACUAUUUCUUUUUUUUUUUUUUCUUUUUCUCUUUCUCUUCUUCUUCUUCUUCCUCCUCAUCCUCCUUCGCAUCUCCUCCUCCUCCUCUGUCGCCACUGACACCGCCGCCUCCACUACGUCCUUCAACUUCGAGAUCUCCGGCGAGCACUCCUUGAAGGACACCUCGUCGUUCUCCGCCGCCACCGCUGCCCACGCCGCGAUCCCCUGCCUCCGAGUCUCUAUCUCUUUCUCCAUCUCCGGCCCCGCUCCCUCCGCGGCCGCCGCAUCAGACGACCGAGCCGCCGCUGCCGCCGAGAUGGAGAAGAUGCUGGGGGACGCCGCAUCUUCUCCUUAAUGCUUAUUAACUUGUUUAUUUAUUGCAUACACAAUACUACACUGUACAAAUGCUUAUGUAUAUUUUCAAUAGAAAAAAAAUGAGAAAAAAGAAAAGAAAUGAAAAUAUAUUACCAACCAUUAAUGCUUCCUAAAGAAAUGACCAAGAAUUAAACAAAAUCCCACUUGAGCAUUUACCAUGUAACAUACAAGUUUUUAUUUCCUUAAUUUCUCUAAAUCGCAGGAAAAAAAAAUGGAGGAUUAACAUACAUACAACUAGUUGUAACAAGGCGUCGGCGAUGGCUCGGUCGUCGGGGGCGAGAAGAGUCAUCUUGCGGAGGGGCGCGAGCUCGACGAGGUGGGCGCGGAUCGCGGCUGCGGCCACGAUGUAGCGGCCGCUGUGAGCGAGGCUCGCCGCGGCGUCCCCCAGCAUCUUCGAACCGUCUUCUUGCCGCGGAGUCCCCCAGCAUCUUCGAACCGUCUCCUCGCCACUCUUUUUCGAACCGUCUUCUUGCCGCGUCACGCGCUCGAUCUCCUCCGCAAUCGGGGUCCUGGCCGAGUCAGUGUCGGCAGCGUCGAGGGCCAGGCGGAGCACGGCGAGGCAGUCGGCGAGGUCGAGGGCCUCACGGCUCUAACGGGGGUGGAAAGAGAAAUGGUGUAAGGAGGAGGAAGAAUGAGGAAGAUGGGGGAAAGGAGAAAUAGCGUAAAUUUCAUCUUAAUAGUGCAAUAUUCGUCUAAAGAGUGUAACUAUUGAUUCCAAAGAGUGUAAUUUUUACUUCAAAAUGUGCAAUUUUAUCUAAAACAGUGCAAAUUUUUUUUAAAAUAGUGUUGUUUUAUUUAACAGUGCAAUUUCAUCUUUUUCUUCAUUCUUCUAUGAUUUUUGAUCAUUUUUGAGGAGAAAUAGUUUAACAAGAGAAAAAACAGUGCAACAAGAGGAGAAGCAGUAUAAAUAUCUCUUAAAGGAGUACAGUUUAAGAUAAAAAUAGUGUAACAAGAGGAGAAAUGGUGCAACAAGAGAAGAAACAAUGCAACAAGAGGAGAAACAAUAUAAAUAUCUCUUAAAGGGGUGCAGUUUAAGAUAAAAAACAGUAUAACAAGAGAAAAAAUUCUGCAACAAGAGGAGAAACAGUGCAAGAUUCGUUUAAAGAGUGUAACUUUCAUCUUAAUGGAUGCAUUUUACAUCUGAAAGAGUGCAAUAAGAAGAGAAACAGUGUAAAUAUCUCUCAAAGAGUGUAAUUUUCGUUUAAAAGGUGUAAUUUUCAUCUUAAAGCUCCAGUUUACAUCUUAAGUAGUGCAAUUUAUAAUUUUUUUUGCAGUUAAUGAUGCAAUUUCAUCUCCAUCCUUCUUUUUAUAUAAUUUUUUAUCUUUACUUUUUUCUUUUUUUUCUAUAAUUUUUUUUUGUCACCCUCUCUGCCAACAGUCACAGUGCCGGCGACGACGCCGCUAAUGACCCUCCGCUCCGAGGCUGCAGCGCCGCAGUGACCUCCACGGUGUCGGCGUCGGCACCGGCGAAAAUGUAUCGUUGUUGGAGGCGACGGAGAAGGAGGGAGAGGAAGAGGCGAGAAGGGCGGGGAAGAGCGAGAGAGGCGUCGUCGUCGGAGACGGUGGAGGAGAGUCGGGAAAGAAAAGAAAAGAAAAAAAUAUAAAAAAAAAGUCGCGGCGCGGCCUUGGCGAGGUCGAAGGUGAGGAAGGUGGAGGGUGCGUGGGCGAGGGCAAGGGCGAGGGCGAGAGCAUGAGGGUGAGAGACGAGGCGGACCGUUUUCGCCUCCGCCUCUGCCUUUGUUACUUUUUUCGGCGAGAAAAAAAAAAAAGAGAGAAACGAAGAGGAGAGAGAAAGAGGAAAGAGAAAAAGUAAUAAGGGUAUUUUGGUCAGUUUGCUGAAAAAACGGACCGAAUCUGCAAAAACAAAAAAGGUGGCCCAGUUUUGCAAAAGCCCAAAAUAAGUGGAUUUUUUAUGCAAAUUGGCCUAUAAUAAAUAAUAUUCCUAUAUAAUUAAUAAAAGGAAUUUGAGACAACUUAAUUAAUUUUUUUAUACGUAAAUCCUUACAAAUACAUAAUUUGACAGUUUUUGGAGGCAUACGUGGCGAAUUUUUGUGCUUUCAUAUCUUGCACCAACGGGAAGAAUCCAAAUGGCUUCUUGGCUCCUUUCCAAGGUUUGACCAGGUCAAGACAGCUCCUUGGCUACUUCCCAAGGUUGAAACAGAUUGGACCAAAAAAUUUCCUCCUUUCUAAGGUUUGACCAGGUCAAGACAGUUACUCCCUCUCUCCUCUUCCCGAGAUUUUUUGUCUCUCUCUUCUUCUACAGGUAGCCCCCCCUCUUAUCUCUCUUCCUUACUUAAGAUGGCCUAUUUCUCUCUCUCUCUCUCUCUAUAAUCCUCUUUCUUUUUUCUCUCAUCCAGUUAGCUCAUUCUUUCUCUCUCUUCUCCUCUCCCCUACUCUCUCUCUCUCUCUUCCCUUCUUCUCUCUAUCUUAGCCCCCUCACUCUCAUCCUAUUAUUCGCACCCACUGUCGUUUCGGCAACAAGUGGCGACCAUCUCCCGCCUGCUCUUUGGCCGCACCGACAAUGCCAUCAAGAACCACUGGAACUCCACCCUUAAGUGCAAGUACGUGGCCCCCGCCGCCGUCGCGAUCGACUCCGCCGUCGCCGCGCCGGAUUUCGGAGAUGACGAGGCGCUGCCGCCGCGGUUGCCAAAGCAAGCCAGCAACGUCGGGCCCGCCGUGUCGGCGGAGCUCUGCCUCAGCCCCGGCAGCCCUUGCGGCUCGGAUCUCAGCGACUCCACCCACCACACCUACCCCUUCGCCGCUUCGCCACCCAGAAUGGCGACGGUGGCGCACGUGUACCGGCCGGUGCCGAGAACAGAAAAAAAAGGAAAAAAAAAAGAGAGGCAUGAAGUAUAACUUCACACCUUCUUAUCUAUUUUUACUUUUUUUAUUUCUGAUAUUAUAUUUUUUCUCAACAGAAAAGCUCAAAAUAUUUUUUUUUAUAAUAAAUAGGAAUGAUCACAUGCUCCACAACUUUUUUUAGGCAUGUAUUUUUCUUCUUAAACCUCUUUGUAUUUACUUUUUUUUAACUAUAAAUUUUUUUAUUUUAUUUUUCUACUUAACUGUUUUAUAAUAAUAUAAAAUUAAUCGUUAACUGCAGCGAAGCGCGGGUUCUAUACUAGUUAUGAUAAUACAACAAUAAAAUCAUAGAGUAAGAAAACUAUUAAUACUCAAGAAAUCAAUUCUUUUUAUAUUUUAAAUAUGCAAACUAAAUAAAAGAGAUACAAAACAUAAUUAAUCAAUUUUUAUCGCAUACUAAACAUGUAAGCUUCUGUAGCAGCCCACAGUAUACCUUGCGAAAGGCCCUGAAUUAUUGGAGUUGCAGAGCUUGACAAAGAUUCAAUCACCUUCAGCAAACUCCAAUGGCCACCGUGUUGCAUCAACCCACUUUGUCAUUCGGCAUGCCUUCUUCUUUGGAUAGGCCCUCGCGAUCUCGCCCUUUUUCUGUAGUUUUGAAGUGAAUUAGAGUGCCAUGGGCUGUGGCCUCACUCGUCGACUGUGCGUGGGGCCGACAGUUAUCUUCUUAUCGCUAGCUCAAAUGGGCUUAGAUUCAUGAACUCGCUCAGCUGCAAAUUGUAAGAGAACUGAGCCACAUUACGAUAGUGCACCAAGUUCUUCUAGUGGGCACCCGCACAGUGUCAUAGGUAUUCCUUCAACAGGGUGUUCACCCGCUCUAUUUGCCCGUCCAUCUGUAGGUGGACACUGGUGGAGAAUAGCGACUCCGACCCUAAGAUCUAAAAUACCUUUGUCCAGAACUUGCCCAUAAACCUGGAUUCACGGUCGGUCUUCGGGAUCCCUAAAGCUUCACUAUAUGGCUAAUGAAGAGCCACGCCACUUCUUCUACCGUGUAAUCCGCUGGUGCCAAAAUAAAGGUUCCAUACUUGGAGAAUCGAUCCACCACCACGAGGAUGGACCCUAACGCCCCUACCUUUGGCUAGGUGGAGAUGAAGUCCAUUGAGACUCACCCACAGAUGCUUCGGUGUAGGUAAUGACUCGAGAAUGUCGCCGGGCCUCUAGUGCUCAACCUUAUCUUGUUGGAACACAAGGCAAUUCUGCACAUACGCCUCCAUAUCUUCAUGCAUUUGAGGCCAAUAGUAUGCAUCCUCCAGUAUGCGAAAGUUCGUUUCUGCCCAGGAUGUCCUAACUACUUGGAAUCAUGGCAUUCUUUUAUAAGCUCUCGACGAAGAUUGCCCUACUUGGACACAUAGACGUGACGUCCCUUGCUAAAGAGCAACCUACCACUAAGCGAAAACAGCUAUGCCUUGCCCUCCUUGACGAGCCGCACGAGUUCUUUGGCUAAAGGGUCCUCGCAAGUCCUUUCACGGAUUUGCUCCCUAAUCGCCCCUUGGAGCUCGCACACUGCAGCCAACUCCACCUUACAACUAAGUGCAUCAGCCACGUGAUUCUUCUUCUAGUGUUUGUAUUAGAGCUCCGUGACGAACUCCGCCUAGAAGUCUUGCUAUCUCGCCUGCUUAGGUGAAACCUUCUUUUGGGUUUGGAAGUAGCUCGUGGUGCUAAUGUUCGUCUGCACCACGAACUUGAUCUUGAGAAGGUAGUAAUGCCAAGUCCUCAAGAAUGCACCACGACGAUCAUUUCCUUCUCCUAAACAAUGCAUCGCCGCCCAAUGUCAUUCAGCUUGCGGCUCUUGUAGGUGAUGGGUUGCCCAUCCUACAUGAUAAUACCGCCAAUGGUAAAGUCCGAAAUAUCUAUAAGCACUUCGAAUGGACUAUUGCAAUCAAGAAGUCGUAGUACUGGAUCAUCCGUCAUCGCCCACUUAAGGUCCUCGAAUGCCUCCGCGCACUAACCAGUCCAAUCCCAUGGCUAGUUCUUCUUUAGUAGGUCUGCCAACGGAGCCACUCGUGUAGAGUAGCACACAAUGAAGCGGCGAUAGUAGUUGACGAGUUUGAGAAAGGCUUACAGUUCAUACACUAUCAUGGGUGUCCCCCACUAGUAGAUUGCCCACACCUUUCGGUGGUCCAUGUGGAGUUGCCCCUGGCCCAUCUAUUGGCCAAGGAAGUGCACCUAAUUCUUCAUGAUGGAGCACUUCUUUUUCUUGAUAAAAAGCUGGUUCUCUCGCAGUACAUGAAAGAUGGUCCAUAGAUGCUCGACAUGCUCCUUCAAUGUGUUGACACAACGAUGUCGUUCAGCUGCACACUACCAUGAAGUAACUGAGGUAAGGGUGGAAUAGCUUGUUCAUAAGAGUGCAGAAGGUCGCCGGCGCAUUUGUCAGGAUGAAUGGCAUGACAAGGAACUCUUAAGCCAUGUACCUCAUCACGCGUGUGGUCUUCUCCUCGUCUACUUCCACAAUUCAGACUUGAUAUACCCUGAGUGGAGAUCGAGCUUGGUGAAAUACUUCACCCUACCUAGCUGGUCAAAGAAAGCUGCAACCAAAAUGAUAGGGUACUUAUUUUUUACUAUUGCCUUAUUGAGUGCCCUCUAAUCAAAAUAGAGUCAUAGUCUUCCGUCGCUCUUCUGUUAGAAUAGUAUUGAUGCUCCAUAGGGUGCCUUCGGCAGUCUUAUAAAGCUCAAUCGAGGAGCUCUUGCAAUUGGUUUGCAACUCCUCGAGCUUCAACUGGACUAUUCUAUAUGGUGCUGUAAUUGGUGGCUUGGCUUCUAACUCGAGGUCAAUUGCAUAGUCCACUUCCCGCUUAGGUAGGAGUCAUUUGGGUAGUUCCUAAGGCAUAACAUUUUAGAAUUCCCUCAAGACUGCAUCAAUUUCUAUCGAAAAGACCUUCUCAAGGCCCUCAUCGUUACCUCGCAAAUGGCCGCAAGGUAAGUCAUCUCGCUAUUGUAGUGUCCAUAGGGUUUAGUUGACGGAGUGACUACAGUAUCAGCGACUAGUCGACACAUCUGGAGACUGUCGGACUGAGUUGGAGUCGUUUUUGCACAAAAUGGAUGCACAAAUGGACUUGGCGAACUCAAAUAAGCAAAACUGGUAUUUUGCCAGUUUAGGGCGCCCAGAAAUGGGUUUAGGGCACCCAGAUCUUGAGUGUUGUUUUGUAUUAGAUGCUGCAGCCAUUUCGGACCCUAUUUAAGGCACCCGAAAAUUGGAUCCGAAAAUUCACAUCGUGAAUAUCGAUUGCGUUGACACGUGGGUGUGGUAGGUGAGCUCCGCCGAAACCGGAUAGCGGUGUAGCUGACCGUCGGACGGAGGAACCGAGGUACUGUUUGUGUAGGCUGAAAGUUCUAGGGGCCCAGAACUGGGUUUAGGGCGCCUAGAUCUUGGUUUUUCUACAGCAGUGCAGGUUAGUAAAGGUUAUCCUUAAGGCUCAAUGCACCUAACCCCUACCUGUAUAAAAAGCUGUGGACGACCUCAGUGAACCCUUUUCACCUCUUCUUCAUAGGAAGCCUGCAAUUUUGCAUUCUAGCCCCUCAAUUACUCCAAAUUUCACAAUUCCACCUUGAGGAUUGCUGAUUUAGCAGAAUUACAGCAGCGACCUUCGGCGUUUUGGCUCGUGUGCGACGUAGGAAGCUCUGUUUGCCACGAAACUUAGUUUGGUGGAUUUUGGACUUCAAGACGAAUUCGUGGAGCCCAUUUUGAUAGAAUUUGGUUGAGGUUAGCUUGGUCAAUUCUGCGUUUUUCUCUGCUGCUGGUAGUUUUAAGCUGAAAUUGGGAGUUUUGGGUUUUCUUGAUGCUAUCUUUGGAGGAAGCUGGAUCUUGGACCUGAGGGUGAUUCUCCAUCAUUGUACACUGGUUUUGGGACCUUCCUCACCUGAUUUGAAGAUUGUUAGGUGAGUUUUGACAUUGGAAUUGGAGGAAUGAGCUUACGUGCUGAAAUUUGAGGGUAAUAAUGCAAGUUUUGGUGUUUUUGGUGUUUUGAUCCUUGAAGGAGUUUGGUUGCUGGUUCUAAGAUUUAGGAUAGUUUCAGCAGUGGUUCCAGCAACUUCGCGAUCUCGUGCUGCCGUGGAUUAGCGCUAGAGGUGGGUUAAUCAUCUAAUUCUCCUCCUAAGUGUAUGCAUAGUCAACAUGUAUAUUUUCAGCCUUUGUAUAUCAUAUUUUUAGCUCGAAUUCAUCGAUUAGUAUGUUAAAUGAAAUCUGAAUUUGGAGUAUACUGUAGUGAGUUAGAUAAAUUAUACAUGUUGGACUUGGAAUUGACUUAGGAGAAAACUAGCGAUUCUACACUAUCAUAUGUUAAACUAUCAGAUUUAGCUCUAGGAGCCGUAGUUUGUUUGUAUCACCACAGUUUGUGUGUAGUGGAUACCCAUAUUAGUGUAGAAUGCAUUACGUUCGUGCUGGGAUGUCGAGCUUGAGUAAUAUUCAAUUGUAGGUUCUACACUAUCAUUUCUAAAAAUUAUCAGAUAGCUCCUUAAGCUAUUGUGCUUCGUAUCCAGGCUGUUAGUGCGCAUUUGAUACUCAAAUAGCUUCUGAAGCUGUUGCGUUUCGUAUCCACGCUGUUAGUGCCCAUUCGAUACUCAGAUAGCUUCUGAAGCUGUUGCGGUUCGUAUCCACGCUGUUAGUGCGUAUUUGAUACGCGGAUAGCUUAGGAGCUGUAGUUUAUUUGUAUCGCCGCAGUUUGUGACGGUGGAUAUCCAGGAUAGUGUAGAAUGCAUUUAUACUCGUGCUGGGAUGCCAAGCUUAUUUUUUACAGCAGUGUUUAGGCUGUUUCGAACUGUUAGGUGCCGUUGAGGUUGACGAUUGACCCAGUUUGCUAUUUUUGCAUCAGAUUGUGCCGAGGGCACGUGAGUUUGGUUGUUAGACCAGUUAAACUCUGUUUACUUGACUAUAGCCUGUGAGAGCCUGAUUGAGCUCGGCAGAGAUACACUUGCAUACUCGAUUAGGUAGCACCCACGAGUGCCACUCCGAAAUCGGGCUUUGUGCGUUUGCAUUGGUGUCGUUGUGUCCUGGUUGGACUUGCUCUCCACGGACGACUUAGCAUGGGGGUAGCAGUAUAGCUUCGACAAGCGGGAUGAGUGUAUUCACAGUCCCUGGGGCUGGUGUAUUCACAGUUCUUAGUGAGAUUGGGUCAGAGAUUGCAUUAUUCUAUGAAUAAUUAGUGUUGGAUCAUGAUAAUAUAGUGGCAUAUAGCUGUAGAUUGUUUUCAGUUCCUUUACUAUCAUUUGUGCAUACUUUCUGUAGACUUGGUAGGAGCCGAUGAGAUUGAGGGCGGUACCUACUGAGGACUACUUUUUUUGCAGUAGUUUUCACGCCCAGUUGUUACCCCUCUUUUUGCAGAGCCUUCUUCUUCGGCUGCUGCUAUCGCGGAUAUCGAUCGUGGAAAGGGAGUCGCGAGCUAGAUCCCUUCCCGUUUUGCUGCUGACUUAGAGAUAUACCAGCUACAGGUAGUUGUAGUUUUUAGUUCUUAUACAUACUAAUGUUAGAUCCUCGCUGGAGCGAGUGUUUUUGUACCAGGAUGCUAUGUAUGUAUAGUAAACCAAUUUUAUUUAUAUAUUAUUCUUUUUAGCAGCUCUAUACUACUGGUUGUAGUGUUGUAUGAUUACAGGUACAAGUACAGCUAUCGCUUCGUAUAUAGAAAAAAUUUUUAUGUAUUCGGCGGGUCUGUUAGCGUGUCCGGAAAAACGAGUAAUCCGGGGCGUGAUAGCUAUGCCCCAUCCCUUUCCACAAUUGUAAAAUGAAAAGGGCCUAGGUUGUCGCUAGCUCGAUGCGGCUAGUCGGAACCAUGCAAAGGGCUGCCUCCUCCAUGAUGCUUAACUCCAAGGUAUGGCAUCGACAUUGCCUUCGACGAAGCUAGGAAGUUGCCUAGUUGUCAUUUUGUUCACAACAAUCUCCCCUACCUUUGGCCUUGCCCACCUUAGGUGGUUUGCCAUGAGUAUGAUCUUCCUUCUCAUACUCUAGUAGUUUCUUUGCUAAGGCAAUAGUGGAGCUCACAUCCUUAACGUCAUGUCCUACGAGCUCUUUGUUCGCCCAUGGUUGGAACCUAUCAAGAAAGAAGAAUAGUUGAUCCUCUUUAGCCAUAUUGGUGGUAGCUUGUCACGCCCUGGGCCCAGCGGAAGCCCGCUGGCGCGUGCACAGACCCGCCGUGUACACCAACAAACACAAUGCACAUAAGGCGUCUACUAAAUCAAGAAAUGAAUAUAGAAGUCCUAACAAGGCUAUCAGAGUGAGUACAAUAAAAAAAUCACUAGAGUUCAAGCAUAAAGAGAUACAAAAAGUAAACAACUAAAUCCAAGAGUCCAACAUAGCUCUAAACCAAAAUACAUAAUACAUCUUUUCCAAAGGUGCAAAAAGGAAAGAUGACAUCGGGUCCAACUAAAAUAUCUCCGUAGGGACUCUAGCUAGUCACUAACCCCUUGCCUCGAUCCCUAGCCACUCCCGAUACGAAUGGCUCUACAACCACAACAAAAAUGGAGGGCGUGAGAACUAUUAGAAAUAGUUCCCAGUGGGCAAGUCAAUGACCUCAGCAAAAUACUCCACUAGGCUAAAAAUAGGCAUGCUAUAAAGGUAAAUGAAUAAGCAAAUAUGAAAAGCAAGUAAUUAAACAAGAUUAAACAUAGUCAUGCCUCUACUACGAGUAUAACUAAUAUGUAUAUGAUGUUCUACUUUUAUUUGAUCAUCUAUAUGUCAAUGUCGAUUUACAUGCAUGUUCAAUUGUAUGCCAUUGUCCAUUACGUGCAUGUUCAACUAUAUGCCAAUAAAAGUUUACAUGCAUGUUCCAAUGUCCAUGAUGCUAUAAUGAGUGAUUAAGCUUUUCAUUACUAAUCUAAACUUGCAUUAUGCCUAUCAAUAUAGGUACAAUAUACUACCACUAGAGUAUCAACGCUAAGAAUGACCAACAUAUAGUCCACAAUAUGCACUAUCAUGCAUGUCUAAUAGUCCAACUAGGAUACACUCUCUAGUAGUAGUAGUAGUUUUCACAUUGUACUUUAAGUAUCAAAGUUCAAUCCUCGUCAUGGAUCUACACGUGUGUAGUCCGGCUUGCGCCGUGCCUAAAAUGGCCCCGUAGUAGUCAACAUUCCCACUUUAGGAAUGAGCCUUCCCCACGGCAUCCCAUUUCGGCGCCCAAUUCUGCACUGGCGAGCUUGUGUCGCAUAGGCUAUCUCCGGAGUGCCGGCUUGUGGGGAGCGACCCUCACAAGCAUGUAUGAAUGAGCACAAUGACAAGCAAGCGUGAUCAAUAGUAUUCAGCUCUCGGUCAUCAUGUCUAAAGCAUGGAAUAAGUACCAAUGACCCCAAAGGUCCGAUAUAGUAUUUCAUUGUCAAGAUUUAUCAUUUAGUAAUUCAAAUGUCACUGCAUGAUAAGUAACUAGUUCAUAAGCACAUAACACUUGUCAUUAUCCUAUCUAGGAUAGUUCACUAUUAUUCAAGUCUCAAAGAAAGUUUGCACUUAAACUGUUCCACUAUAGCCAAGUAAAUUCCUUUCUCAUGCCAUAUGCAUAGGUACUGUAAGAUAUGUCGAUGUCCAUGAUGCACGCCAUGCAUAUACUUUUCUACCAAUGCCUCCACUAUAUGGAGUAAUAAACUAUCAUGCAAGUGUUUUCAUACAAUUAAUGCAAUAUGCAAAUAUCCAUCUUGUCAUUUGCCCAAGGGCAUUCCAAACACUACCCUCAUGUCAAGUUCUAGUUGUGCAACUAGGUUAAAUGCUCCAAUCUUAGUCUCAUGAUGACCUUAUCAUGCACUAUGUCACUAUGUCACUAUGUCACAAUUAUCUUGUUUACAACAAGUGUAAUGUUAUUAUGCAAGAAUAUAUUAAAUUCCAAUCACCUUGUCUAUAACAAGUAUGACGUUGUCAUCAUGUUAGUUAACCAUUAUCUAACGCGUUCACUAGGUACCCCCAAGGAGUUAUACGAUCAUUCAUACUCUAACAUGCUUCCUAUAGUUGCAUAAGAUAGAAAAGUCAUCAAGUAAUGCUAGACCAUGUACAAGACUACAUAUUUGCCUCUACUACAUAGAGGACAAAUUUUUCACCAUACAUAACAUGUAUGUAUUAUGCUUUCAUAAAUUAUAACAUGUCAUUUUGAGCAUUGUUUAGUAUCUAAUUAUUUCUCGAAAUCAAAAGGUAGACAUAGGGGGGAGUUCACCCAUUUCGGUGAGGUCAAACCUACCAAAGCUCUCUGGACUCCUUUCGUUUGUACCAACGAAGAUGUCCACUAGCCUCCUAACUUCCUAGAGAAAAUUCUAAGAGAGUUAGACAAAGCAAACAAACACCCUAAGUGCUCAUCUAAGAAGCAACCAAAGAAUAAGGCAAAACUCAUCUAAAGUGUAGAAAAACCCUCUCAAAUUCCAAAAGGUGGCUAGAUCACUUCAAAUCUACCCCAACGAGUUGUUCUACACCUAUCAAUUCCAACUAAAAAUCCUCAAAUCAAAAAUCUCCAAAAUAAACCCUAAAUUCUCAUUUCUAGGUUUUCAUCUUGCUAAAUCCAUCAAAACAUGGAUAAAAAAGGGAAAAUAUGCUACUAACCUCUUUAGAAGCCUCAACCUAGACUUAAAGUGAGCUAGGGUUGAAGAUCUCUCCUCCAACAAGCUCAACACCAUGUUCCCAAGCUUCUCCCAAGGUAGAAAUGGCACCAAGAAGCAAAAAGAAGUAAAAGAGGAAGAUUAAACCUCUAAAAAAACUCAAGUAAAAAAAAGCUUAAAACCCAAGGAAAAGGAGUGGAGACCUACCCUCCUUCCUCCUCUGUCGCAGCACAAAGCCCCUGUCCAAGGGGUAGGGGCGUAUAUAAGGUAUUGCGACAAAAGCGAAAAGAUCCCUCAAAAACUGCCAAACUGCAGUUUGCACUGUGUACCGGUACACGAAAAAGUGUACCGGUACAAAACCACGGCACGCACAAACCCGAGCCUCGGGUUGAUAGAAAACUGCUAGUUGUACCGGUACAAACCCGAUGUUGUACCGGUGCAACAUCCUGUUCCGAUACAAGCUCAAUGCUGUAUCGGUACACAGCUCUGCAAAAUCCAAUUCGAGGACAGCCAACAAUCUUCACUUUUGAGACUUUGGCACUAAACUUUAAACCUCGAUUCUCGGGAUGCGAGACAUAGGUCGGAACACUGUCUACGACCCUCCAGGAUACCUGGAAAAACUCAAAUCACCUAUCGAACACUUGAACCCGCAAUUUGCAAAAGUUCAGUGUGUUACAUAGCUAGCAUCAGUUUAGAGUACUCCUUGACAUACUUAUUGAGUGUCCUAAUAUGCUUGUGCUGUGGAAGUUGCCUCUUCACAAGAUCUAGUUAAAACUGUGCCUUGAGCUCGUGCAAAAAGUCCUCCUAGCUCGCAUUGGCCUUCUCAUCCUCUGUCGCUCGCUGAUGCCACUAUAGAAUUAUUCACUGUUGAUGAGGUACAUGGAAGCAGUUUAGACUUUCUCUUCCUUGUUCUCUAAUCUUAAUGCCUUGAGGUAGUGCUCUAUGUGCCAUAAGAAGUUAUCAAUUUCUUCUCAUCUUGCAUGCCCUUGAAGCACUAGAGUUCAGGGACAUGGACCUUUGGGGUAUACUCCUUCUAUGCCUCAGCACCAUGAGCCACAUCCUUUUUGAGGCUCAUCAUCCAUAUCUUGAGGUCCUUGGCUGCAUCGACCCUAACGACAAGUUCGUCUACCGGCACCUUUCGCUUAUUCUCGUGGUGAGUGAGGUCAUCCUGAAACUGCUCAAGUUAUCAGCGAAAGGUCAUCAUGGUAGCCAUAGCGAGGUCCUUCGUAGUAUGAAGCCCAUACUUCCAUUAGCUCUAACUGUUGGGAUAGAAUAGAAUAUCGCUUUUCCAGUCUCGCAACAAUAUCCUUCAUCAAGCCUACGUGGUCUUUGAGUGAAACGAACUCCCUCGCAUGGGUCUAUGGCUUUUUUCCUCUUGCCUCGCUUGGACUGCUUGGGCUGAGGGAUUAUGUCAACGAUGGAAGCAUUUGAUGAUGACAUGGUUCCUACUUCUCGAACCCGCCCUGAUACCAAUUGUUAUGGACUUGAUUAGUCACAAUCGCUUAUCAAGUUUGUACGGUGCUCACCUUCCUUCGCCUCUCUAGUUGCUAUUCCGGACCUAUUCGUUCUACGACUCAGUAUAAGAUAGAGAGUGUGGAGGAAGAUAGAUGUAUAUUGGUAUGUACAAGCAAGAAAACUAAAUACAUACUCAUACCCAAGAUCAUAAACAAAAUAAAAUAUAACUCACAGAGCAUCAUAGAGAAGAAAUUCUUGAUCAACCUGCGAAAGCGAAAAAUUCAGCUGUAAUGUGAACGUUACCAACUGAACUCGAAUAAUUUGGUUUCUCCUUCUUUCUCAGGUACUCUUCCUUUGGUGUGAAAUAGAUGGUAAUUAUUCUUCAUAAUGCACAUGAGAAUGAGGCAGGACUAGUACCCCCUUUAUAUAAAGUUUAGAUUGACUUUUCAUCAAAGUCUUAUUAGGAUUCUAUUUAACUUAAAUAGAUAGGAAAGAGAUUAGAUAUACCAUAUCAAGUAGUUCUAUAUCUACUAAGAAUGACCUUUAUUUAUUUUAAAUCUAUAUUUGAACAUGAUUAAUUGGGCCAUAUUUAUAGAAAUCCCAACAAUCUCUCACUUGGCUUAUAUUAAUCAUAUUUCAUGAACGGAUUUUCUAUAUUCCAAACUUUAUUGUGUAUUAUUGAAAACUUUAUGGUCAAAUACCUUAUAACUUACGUGAUCCUUAGCUCAAAUUAAAAGACUAUAAUGAUAGGAACUAUGGUAGUCCACCUCUUCAUAUUGAAAAUUUUCUCCCAUAAUUAUCAUAUCAUCUUCAUCUCCUAACCAAAUACUUUACAUGACACAACUUUUUGAAUAAACUUAAAAAUAUAUAUCCAUUCGUUAAUAGACAAAACUUUACGUCUAUUAAAUGGUCAAACACAGAUGCAUCACAACUGUAACUUUAAUUAAAGAAGAUAAAAAUGUUUAAUCUUAUACAUCAAAAGAACUAAUCAGACUCAUACUACUAACAUGAUCUGUAUAUGACCCAGGUGCUAGCCCCUCGGUCAUUGGGUAUAAAAUCAUACACUACUAGAAAAUUAGUUAUUAGUGACAUUUAUUUAUGCCGCUAAAAGAUCAACGAAUGCCGCUAAAAGUUUUAACAGCAUUUGACACUAAAUGCUGUCUAUACCAAUGUUGCUAAAAGUAUUAGCAGCAUUUAUAAUAAAUACCGCCACUAUAAAUUAAUUAGUGUCAUUAGAAACAUACCGCUAAAAGGGAUUAAAUGUUAAUUUUAAGUUGUUUAUUAGCGGCACAUAAAUAUAAUGCCACUAAUACAAAUAUAAGAUUUUAGAAAAAUCAAAAUUUAAAAUUUUAUUUUGAAUUUUUUUUAGAGAAAGGUAACAUGCUACUCGCUUUAUUUAUUUCUUUUAGAAAUAAACUUAACUAGAAAUGUGAAUAAACUAGAAUUCAAACUUGAGACCUCGAGUACCAACCACCAAGCCCUUUACCACUUGUACUAAGAACUAUCAGUUAUAUAUAUAUUUGAAUUUUUUAAAUUUUAAGACUUCAAUUUAAAAUUUUAAACUUUUAAAUUUUAAAUUCUAAAUUUAGAUGCUAAAUUUAAAUUUUAAAUUUUCAAAUAUUAAAUUAUAAGUUUCAAACUUUGUAGUUUUAUUAUUUAAAUUUUAAAUUUUAAAUAAAUUUAAAAUUUUAAAAUGGGAUAUAUUUAUAAUUAUAUAUUGAUUAGUGAUGAUAAUUAGCAAUAAGUCCUGCUACUUUAUUAUAUUUAACGACAUUUAUUAAUUUAUGCUGCUAAUUUAUCCUAUUUUGCAGUAUUAAUAAUAAAUUACUGCUAAAUUAUUAAAUCUACAGACAAUUAUCAAGUAAUACUGUUAAAUAUAUUAAUUAACAUAAUUUAAAUAAAUAUUGCGGAGUAAAUAUUGCGGCAUUUAGCAAUAAGCGCUGCUAAUUUGUUACAUUUAGUGUCAUUUUUUAUAAAAUGCUGGAAACUUUAGCGGCAUUUACUAAUUUAUGCUUCUAAUUUAUCUUAUUUUGCAGUAUUAAUAGUAAAUUUCUGUUAAAUUAUUAAAUAUAGCGGCAAUUAUCAAGUAAUGCCGUUAAAUAUAUUAAUUAGCAUCAUUUAGAUAAAUGUUGCGAAGUAAAUGCCGCUAAAUCAUAAUUUUGUUGUAGUGACAGUUGGUACUAAUGUAUUCAAUCGUAACAUAAUCUUCUUCUAUCUUCUCUCUCAUAAUAAGAUAUUUAGUGUUAAAGUGUUUACACUCUGCUAUAAUUUUAUUGUUAUUGGUAAAGAAAACUGCAGCUGUACUAUCACAUAAAAUUCUUGUUGGUCGAGUAAUGGAGUCUGCAAUCUUUACGUUUUUGAUAAAAUUUUUAAGCCAAAUAGCCUUGAUGUGGUCUCGUAACAUGCAAUGUACUCUGCAGCCAUGGUCGAAGGGGCAGUAACACUUUGUUUGCUGCUUUUCGAAGAAAUCGCUCCACUAGCAAGCAAAAAAGUGUACCUAGUUGUAGACUUUUUGGUCUCUGAGCAUACAGCAAAAUCGGAGUCCGAGUACUCGAUCAACUUCAAGUGAUCUGAUCUCCUGUAUAUCAACAUAUGAUCCAAAGUUUUCUUUAAGUAUCUCAUAACCUUCUUAGCAGCCUUCAAAUGCUAAAUAUCAUACCUGCCAAGUAAUCCAAUGGCAAAAGUAAUAUCUGGACGUGUGCAUGUUUGUGCAUACAUAAGACAGGAUAGAAACGAGCCGAUCUCGAGCGAGCUUACCUCAGCUCAAAUUCGGCUUGAAAUUAAUUUUGAGCCUAAUUUUAGGCUCAAGCUCGGCUUGAAAUUAAUUCGAGACGAGCACGAGCUAGCCUAAUUUCGAGUCGAGCGAGCUCGAGCCCUAAACGAGCCGCUUGAAAUUCUCAAUAUUGUACGAUCAAUAAUUUAAUUUGUAUAAAACAUUAUUUAUAUUUUGAUACAAAAAUAUAUCUGACAGUUCAAAAAACAAAAUAAUUAUAUGAAAAACGGUAUUAUAAUAUGAAGAAAAAUUACUUAUAAGUUGAAUAUCUAACCUUUUCAGUCUCGCAUGUCUUCUCUUCUGCCUUUAAUCUCCAUAUUAUUCUUUUUUAUUUAUGCAGUCAAAAAAUGAAUAAAUUAUAUAGGCAAAUAUUUGAUUAAACUAUCUAAUCAUAUAUAACUAAAAUUAAAAUUUUAUAUAAACAAUAAUUUUUUACCUUAAAAAUAUUCUGUAUAUUUUCUCAAACACACAACGAACUAAUGGCAAGAUAGGCAACGGCGGGCGCGUGCUGUUACUUGGUAACUUGGGAGGCUACAGGUUUGGCCAGUUGGGAUGAGAGACAGAGAAAGAGAGAGAGAGAGAGAGAGAACGAGAGAGAGAUUAGGGAUUUAGGGCUCUUUGAAAUAAAGAAAGGGAAAGAGUGUAAAUUUAGUAGGAUUUUGCCCUUUUGUUGGCAUAUUCGGUUUGUUUAAUUUUUAUGGGCAUGCAAUAUUGGCUCAAUUUUAACUAAACUUCGAUUACUUACUCAACCUACAUAUAAUUAAAAUAUAUUAUAUUUAUUUAUAUAUUGUUAAUUUUAUAUAUAGAGAGAGAGUAGGUCUUGUGUGCUAUUAGGAGCACGGAGGCCUCCGUGCUCCUAAGCCAUUUUCGAUGAUGGAGUUUCCGAAUCGACGAUCGGUUCUGUUAGACUUGAUCUAACGUAUUUGAAGUAUCUAGAAAAUAAUUUUUACAAUUUUUCGAUAUCAUUUAUCUAGCGAUCGAAAGGGUUCAAAAUCAACGGCUGAAAAUAAAAAUCUCACAAAAGUGGUGAUAUAGCACUAAAGUUUUCGAUCAGAGACAUUGAUCUUGCUGUAAAUAGUAUAAAGAAUUUUCUAUCAAAAUUUCAUAUGAUUUGAAUACUUUUACACCGUUAAACUUGCAUACGAUAUACCCAACCAUUAAAUAUUGUUGAUUUUAAACCCUUUCGAUCACUAGGUAAAUGAUAACGAAAAACUGCAAAAUUUAUUUUCUAGAUUUACCUCUUUUAUCAUUUUUAUCCGUUUGAUUAUACUAUUCAUGCAACCACCCACUCAACCCUAAGGGAUCCACAUCAUCCUAACCGUACAUCUUUUAAUCCAAGGGAAGAAAACUUAAUAAGACCAAGUCAUUGGUGCUAUUAAUAAUAUUCCAGCCUAUAUAUAUAUAUAUAGUGCGUCUGGUAUGCUUCUGGAAGUACGGAGCACUCCGUGCUUCCAAGUUGUUUUCAAUGUUCAGACUUUCGAAUCGACGAUCGGCUGCAUUAGACUUGAUCUAGAGUAUUUGAAGUAUCUAGAAAAUAAAUUUUGCGAUUUUUUGAUAUCAUUUGCCUAGUGAUCGAAGUGGCUCAAAAUCAACAGCUGAAAAUAAAAAUCUUACAAAAUAUGAUGAUAUGACAUUAAAAUUUUAGAUCAAAGUUAUUGAUCUUAUUUAUACAGUAUAAAGAAUUUUCUAUCAAAAUUUCAUGUGAUUUGGAUAUUUCUACACCGUUAAACUUGCAAACGGCUCACCACGGCCGUUAAAAUUAUUAAUUUUGAGCCCCUUCGAUCACUAGGCAAAUGAUAUCGAAAAAUCACGAAAUUUAUUUCCUAGGUAUUUCAAAUACUCUAGAUCAACUAUAAUGGAGCCGAUCAUCGAUUCGAAAGUCCGAACAUCGAAAACAACUUGGAAGCACAGAGGGCUCCGUGCUUCCAGAAGCAUACCAGCCCUCUCUCUCUCUCUCUCUCUCUCUCUCUCUCUAUAUAUAUAUAUAUAUAUAACUCUCUCUCUCCCUCUCUCUCUCUAUAUAUAUAUAUAGAGAGAGAGAGAGAGAGAGAGAGUUCGGCUACUAUGCUAUAGGUAGCACGAAGCGCUCCGUACUACCAAAUUGUUUUUGAUGAUGCGGCUUCCAAAUCGACGAUCGGCUCUGUUAGACUUGAUCUACACUAUUGAAAGUAUUUGGAAACUAAAUUUCAGAUUUUUUCGACAUCAUUUGCCUAGUGAUCAAAAGAUCUCAAAAUUGAUAAUUUUAAAGGCCGAUGUGGUGUGUUUGGGAGUUUAACGGUGUAAAACAAUCCAAAUAAGAUGAAAAUUUUAUAGAAAAUUAUUUUUACUAUUUAGAGUAAGAUCAGUAUAUCUGAUCUUGAAUUUAAAUCUUUUAUCAUCAUAUUUUAUGAGGUUUUUAUUUUCAGCUGUUCAAUUUUAGAUUAUUUGUUUGAUAGGUAAAUGAUAUCGAAAAUUAUGAAAUUUAGUUUCUAAAUACUUUCAAUAGUGUAGAUCAAGUUUAACGGAGCCGAUCGUCGAUUUGGAAGUCGCAUCAUCGAAAACAACUUAGUAGCACGGAGUGCUCCGUACUACCGAUUGUAUAGUAGCCUAGUUCUAUAUAUAUAAAAAAAUCAUUCGAGCUUUGCGAUCCGAGCUCGAGUGAGCCAAAUUAAUAUCAAGCCGAACGCGAGCCAACUCGCUUAUUUGCCGGCCCUACAUAAGACUACCGACUACAGAGGUAUAGAGUAUAUAUGUUUUUCAUCGGUUCAAUUUCUUAUUGGUUCUUAGGACAGUGAAAAGUAUUAAGGUUAUCUUUUUUUUAGACAGAAGUAUCACUGGGCUUAUAAUUAUGUACUUUAAAAUUUUUCAAAACUUUCUUUACAAAGGCCUUUUGACUAGUCUGAGUAAACUUUUAUGCCUAUCCCUUUUAAUUUCAAUACCAAAAAUAUAGGUGGCCUUACCUAAAUCUUUAAUUUUAAAAUUUUAGAAAAGAAAUUUUUUAGUAUUAUGUAAGAGCCUAAAUCAUUACUGACAAGCAAAAUAUCAUCAAUAUAAAGGAUUAAGAAAAUUAUUUUACUCCGACUAACUUUCAGAUAAAUAUAUUAAUUAAUAUUAUUUUUCUUAAAACCAAAGAUCAAGAUGGUUUGUUUAAACUUUUAGUACCAUUAUCGAGAGGCAUGUUUUAGUCAAUAUAUUGAUUUAUUUAGUUUGCAUACCAAGUGCUCCUUUUUCUUUUGUGAUAAUCCAUCAGGCUGACUCAUAUAUACCUCUUUAGAGAUCCCUAUUUAAAAAAGUAGUUUUAAUAUCUAUCUGAUAUAGCUCGAGAUCGAAAUGAGCAACCAGAGUUAUAAUAACACGAAAAGAUUUUUUUAUGUAUAUUGAAAAGAAAGUCUUUUUUAUAGUCAAUACCUUCUUUCUAACUAAAUCCUUUUGCCACAAGAUUGACCUUAUAUCUCUCUAUAUUAUCCUUAGAGUCCUAUUUGGUUUUAUUAACCCACUUGCAUUCUACGGGUUUAACUCCUGUAGGUAACUCAACAAGAUUCCAUACCUUAGGGCCUGUUUGUUUGGGUGAAAGUAGAGAUGGGUGAAGUCGUUUUCGGUUGUAAAUGAUCACUUCCGCUGUUUGUUUUGCCGUAAUAAAGAUACGGUUGAAACUGGAGUUACUCGAAACAGCGUAAUUGACUUCGGCCCAUCCCGGGCCACACUACAACAAAAACAGUGUAUAGCGACAUUUUUAAAUGUUGGUACAGGUCAAAAAAAGUGCUACUGGCUAAAUUACCGACACUUUUAAAAAGUGUUAUUGUCUGCCACCACGAAUGACGCACCUCGCACGGUCGAUGGAUUUUUCGGGGCCGUGGGGUAGUAUUCAUGAUUCAGAUGAGUAUUUAUAUGUAUGUGUGGGUAUCAGGUUUUGCGAGUCCAUGGCUUCCAAUAGAUGCAAGCAUCUACUGUUAAUUACCCCCUUGAGAUUGGGGCACCUUCGAUUAAGAGACCUUUAUAGAUUGGAUGAGAUGGAUCGUAUCUCGGUUUAUUGAAUCCUAAGUAUAUAUAUUAGGAUUCAGUUGGAUUUGAGGUUGAUUAGGCCCUAAGUAUAUGUAUUAAGACCUGAUCGAUAUUAAACUCUAUGUAUUUAGAGUCUAAUUGGUUCAUGAGAUAUGGGUAUGAGAUCUGGGUAUUCGUUCAUGGGAUUUGGGUAUUAGUUUAUGAGAUUUGGGUAUUGGUUCAUAGGAUAUGGGUAUUAGGUUGGAUGUAUGGUUCAUGGAAUUUAGUCCAUGAGGUUUGGUGUAUGGUUUAUGGGGUUUGGUCCAUGAGGUUUAGUUGUGGUUCAUGGAAUUUGGUCCAUGAGGUUUGGUUGGUUCAUGGGAUUUGGUCCAUGAAAUUUGGUUUUGGUUCAUGGGAUUUGGUUCAUGAACUUGGUUUUGGUUCAUGGGAUUUGGUCCAUGAGAUUUGGUUUUGGUUUUAUGUGUGGACUUGGUUUGGAUUUAUUUGGGUUCAAGUUUGGGUUCUGGUUUUAUUUGUGGACUUGAGUUUGGAUUUAUUUGGGUUUGGAUUUUGGUCUUAUUUGUGGACUUGGUUCAGGUUGGGUUUGGAUUUGAUUUGGGUUUGGGUUUUGGUUUUAUGUGUGGACUUGGGUUUGGAUUUUAUUUGGGUUUGGAUUUUGGUUUUAUGUGUGGAAUGGGUUCGGAUUUUAUUUGUGGAUUUGAUUUGGGUUGGGUUUGCGUUUGAUUGGGGUUUGGGUUUUGGUUUUAUUUGGGGAAUGGGUUUGGAUUUUAUUUGUGGACUUGGUUUGGUUUCGGUUUAUUUUGGUUUUGGGUUGGAUGUUUAUUUGGACUUGGUUUGGUUAGCUUUGGGCCGUUUGGCUUUGUAUGUGGACUUGGUUUGAUUUGGGUUUAUUUGGGUUUUGGGUUUUGGUUUGGAUGCUUAUUUGGACUUGGUUUGGUUAGGUUUGGCUUUGUAUGUGGACUUGGUUUGGUUUGGGUUUAUUUGGGUUUUGGGUUUGGUUUGGGUUUGGACUUGAUUUGAUUUAGGUUUGUAGGUGAACUUGAUUUGCAAUUUGGGUUCGCAUAUGAACUUAAUUUGCGAUUUGGGUUCGCAUAUGAACUUAAUUUGCAGUUUAAGUUUGUGUAUAGACUUGAUUUGCAAUUUGAUUUGGGGUCCGAAGAAAUCCCCUUUUGAUUUUGCAAUUUGAUUUGGGGUCCGAAGAAAUCCCCUGUUGAUUUUGUAAUUUAAUUUGGGGUCCGAAGAAAACCCCUAUUGAUUUUGCAAUUUAAUUUGGGGUCCGAAGAAAUCCCCUAUUGAUUUUGCAAUUGAAUUUGGGGUCCGAAGAAAUCCCCGUUUGAUUUGAAUUUGAAUUUGAUCUUCAAAUUUGAUUUGGUUUGGGGUCCGAAGAAAUCCCCGUUUGGUUCUAAUUUGGGGUCCGAAGAAAUCCCCGUUUUGAUUCCAAUUCGGGGUCCGAAGAAAUCCCCUUUUGAUUUUGAUUUGGGGUCCGAAGAAACGAGGAAUCAAAGAUUCCCCUCCCCUCUUCUUGCGAUGCUGCGGAUGACGUCGACGAAGUUGAUGACGGUGGCGUGGAUCUGUUCGGCCAUCGGAUUUGAUUUGACAUUUUCGAAUAAGUAUUGAAGGGUCCGAAGAAACGGGGAAUCAAAGAUUCCCCUCCCCUCUUCUUUCGAAAAUAUCAAACCGNUGGGGUCCGAAGAAAUUCUUUUUUGAUUCUAAUUUAAUUUGGAGUCCGAAGAAAUCCCCUUUUUAAUUCUAGUUUGUUUUGGGGUCCAAAGAAAUCCCCUUAUUGAUUCUAAUUUGAUUUGGGGUCCGAAGAAAUUUCCAUUUUGAUCUUGAUUUUGGGUCCGAAGAAAUCCCCUUAUUGAUUCUAAUUUGAUUUGGGUUCCGAAGAAAUUUCCGUUUUGAUCUUCAUUUGGGGUCCGAAGAAAUCCCCGUUUGAUUCAUGAUUUGGGGUCCGAAGAAAUCCCCGUUUGAUUUAUGAUUUGGCGUCCGAAGAAAUCCCCGUUUGAUUUUUGAUUUGAUUUGGAUCUAAGCUGGUCUGAAAGUUUCGUGAAUUGAUUCAAUGUUCUCGGAAAAGAUUGAAGGGUCCGAAAAAAUAGGAAAUCUUUGAUUCCCCUCCCCUCUUCUUUCGAAAACACUAAACCGGUGAUGCUGGAGAUGACGUCGGUGAAGAUGAUGACGGUGGCGCGGAUCUGUUCGGCCAUCGAAUUUGAUUUGACAUUUUCGAAAGAUGUUGAAGGGUCCGAAGAAACGGGAAUCGGAGAUUCCCCUUCCCUCUUCUUUUGAAAACACCGAACCGGCGAUGCUGGAGAUGACGUCGGUGUAGAUGAUGACAGUGGCGCGGAUCUAUUCAGCUGUCGGAUUUGGUUUGACAUUUUUGAAAGAUGCUGAAGGGUCCGAAAGAAACGGGGAAUUGAAGAUUCCCCUCCCCUCUUCUUUCGAAAAUAUCAAACCGGCGAUGCUGUAGAUGUCGUUGGGGAUGGUGGCGUGGAUCUGUUCGGUCAGCCAAUUUGAUUCAAUAUUUUCAAAAAUGUUUUGAAGGGUCCGAAGAAACGAGGAAUCAAAGAUUCCCCUCCCCUCUUCUUUUCGAAAAGAUCAAAACGGCGAUUGUAGACGUCGUCGACGGAGUUGUUAACAGUGGCAUGGAUCUGUUCGGCCAGCAAAUUUGAUUCGAUAUUUAUCGAAGAAAUGUUGAAGGGUCCGAAGAAACAGGGAAUCAAAGAUUCCCCUCCCCUCUUCUUUCGAAAGUAUCAAACCAAACAUGCUGGAGAUGGUCGCGGCAAUGUAGAUCAUCCAUUCCAUCAUCAACGACUUCGAAUGGGGUAUUGAGAGGUCCGAAGAAACGGGGAAUCAAAGAUUCCCCUCCACUCUCCCACCGAAGCCAUCUAGAUGAUAUGGAUGGCUACGAUCGUCGGACAAAAGAAAAAAAAAAAAAGAGGGGGAAGAAAAGAGAUCUUUUUUUUGUUUUAUUAUUAUUUUUACUUUCUUUCUUUUUUCUUUCUUUUUUACUACCUGCUGAUGGAUUCGAUGAAGCGGCUCAACGAUCUCUCUCUCUUUCUGCGGCUCGGCGAUUUCUCCUUCUUUCCACGGCUUGAGUGAUAUCUCCUCCUUUCCUCGGCUCGGCAAUGUAUCCUCCUUUCAGCAGCUCGGCAAUAUCUCCUCCUUUGAAUAUUUUGAACUUGGAAGUGUGUAGCAAUCUAUCUAUCGUGUCGUCUCUCUCCAAAAAAUUUCUCCCCGAAUUUGAUUUCGGUUCCCAUAUUUAUAAUGGGAAGGGAGGAGUUAGUUAAGAAUUCAAAAUUCGAAAUUCGAAUUUUGAAUUAUUUGUUGGAUGGUUGGAGGAUAUUUGGGGGGUGGUUGGGAGUUCAAAAUUCGAAUUCGAAAUCGAAUGAGUUGUUGGAUAGUUGGAAGAUAUUUUGGGAGUUGGUUAGGGAAUUCAAAAUUCGAAAUCGAAUUUUGAAUGGGUUGUUGAAUGAUAUUUUGGGAAUUUGGUUGGGAAUUCGAAAUUCGAAAUCGAAUUUCGAAUAGGUUGUUGGAUGAUGUUUUGGGAAAUGGCUGAAAAUUCGAAAUUCGAAAUCGAAUUUUGAAUGGGUUGUUGGAUGAUGUUUUGAGAAUUGGUUGAGAAUUCGAAAUUCGAAAUCGAAUUUCGAAUGGGUUGUUGGAGGAUGUUUUGGGAAUUGGUUGAGAAUUCGAAAUUCGAAUCGAAUUUCGAAUGUGUUGUUGGAUGAUAUUUUGGGAAUUUCAAAUUCGAAUUUUGAAUGGAUUAUUGGAGGAUAUUUUGGUAAUUUGUUGGGGGUUCAAAAUUCAAAAUUCGAAUUUUGAAUGGAUUAUUAGAUGGUAUUUUGGGAAUUCAAAAUUCGAAAUUCGAAUUUUGAAUGGAUUAUUAUUUGAAAUCGGAUUUCGACUAGAAACUUUAUAAGGUGUGGGUGUGGGCCGUCGUUGAUCAGACCCACCUUAAUUUAUUGGGUUCAAAUGAUAAUGAGCUGAAAUAAAGGCCCACCCUCACUUUUUUUUUUUAUUUAUUUUUUUUUUUUUAUUUAUUUGUUUGGGCUUUCGUAAUGGCUCACCCACUCACAUUUUUUUUUUAUUUGUUUGGGCUUUCGUAAAGGCCCACCUACUCACAUUUUUAAAUGGGCUUAUUGUAUAUUAUAAUUAUUGACCCGAGAAAAUUAAUGAUUAAUACGAGACCUAUUAGGAUUGUAUGAACUCGAAUCUAAUUAUUUUUUUAUUAGGAUUAGGAUUGUUUCAACCUAUAUAUAUAUAUAUAUGUAUGACAAGUAUUAUUUUACCUCAAACAGUUAUUAUAUGUGGGGUCGCUAGGUAUAUAGUGGCAGUUUAAGAGUGUCGGUAUAACCUAAAAAGAGUACUGCUAAUUUACCAACACUUAUUUAAGUAUUUAGCAACCGCCGAGCCUCUACCUCGUUGGCUGCGGUAGCGGAGGAGGAGGAGACCGAAGAGCUCUUCGUCUAGGGUUUCAGUAGAUUGAGUGAGGGGAGAAGGAGAUAUGGUGAUCAAUUUUUCCUUUUUUGUUUGUAAUCGGGCCGAAUGGGCUGGGUGAGGUGAGUUGAAUAGAGUAAGCUUUUAUUUUGGUUGGAUUGGACUUUAUAUUUAGGCCUUAGUAAAUUUUUUUUUAAAAGUUUUGUCAUAAAUGAGACAUUUACCCAAAAUUGUUUCAAACAUAUGUUCCUAUAAUUUAAUUCUAUUGUAGUGCCGUUGGAUUAAGGAAUCAAGGAUAUAUACUAAUGUGGUAAGUAGUAAUAAAAAGAAACAAAAGUCGAACCAAAUUUGCACCAUAUCUACCAUUAUUCCAUUACCUCUAAUUAGUACAUUUUUCCAAAGGAAAAAAGAAUUAAAGGCAUACUUAUUUUUGUAUUCUAAUUUUUUGUUUUGAGAAUUAAGUUUGUAUCUAUUAAUUAUGAUUUUUAAUAUGUAAGCUUACAAAUUAUCUAAUUAUGUAUUGUUCCCAACAUACCAAGAUCUGUGGAACCACCAACUGUACUUCUAGAGCAAGUGGCAAAGGACUUGAUGGUUGGUAUUUGAGAACCAAGUUCGAAUCUUAGUUGAUUCAUAUUUCUAGCUAAAUUUAUUUCUAAAUAUAACAAAUGAAACGGAUAGUGUGCUAUCUAUCUCAAAAAAAAAAAAAAAAAAAAAAAAAAUCUGUCGAACCACGGCUAUCACUGCUAUUGCUAUAGAGCGAAUCCAUUAUGAGAUACUCGAAUAGCAUUUCACCUAAAACUAAUACCGCACCAUACAGUGCGACUAAAUGGGCCACGUAUGCUCCCACUGAUCUUAAGCGCCUCAACACCUGUUUGGUAUUUUUUUUUUUCUAUUUUAAUCACACAGAAAGUGCGAAAAAGACAUGCAAUUAAUCUAUUAUUUAUUCUCAAAUAACACACCGUUACUAAGCCUUAUCUAAGUAUUACAUUAUUCUAGUGAAAUAAAAACUCAAAAAUUUAGAACAAACAAGAGUUACAAAACUGCAAUUCUUGAAACCUUAGCACUUUAUGGAAAUAAACAGUACUCCGUACCUUACAUAAACAACAUAGACAUCACAACCUUAAUUGAUUAGUACGCAGAUCCUAAUUAAUAUUUUUCCUCUCUCUUUCCAAUCUGAGUUGGUAAGCCUCCUUUCAUUUUGAGCGACAGUGAGAAUUCAUGCUCAGGAGCGCUCUUCUUUCCCACAACACUAAGCUGAAACCUUUCAAGCAAACAAGCCGCAAUGGACUUCAUCUGUAUAUAAGCCAUCUCCUUCCCCAAGCACAUUCUCGGUCCGGCAUGAAACACCGGGUAACGGAACGGGUUCUCUGGCCGGAAAACCCCAUUUUCCAACCACCUCUCCGGCUUGUACUCUUCGCAAUUCUCCCCCCAUAUUUCCUUCGAUCUUCCCAUAGCAUAAGCAUUGUAUGUUACAAACCAUCCUUUCCCCACGAACGUUCCGUCCGGCAGCGUAUCGUCCUUUUUGCAUGAUUGCCUAUCAAUAGGCACAGGAGGGUAUAAUCUCAUCGUCUCCGAUAUCGCAGCAUGCAAGUAGUGCAUCUCUCGUAGCUCGUCAAAGCUGAACAUCUCGCUCGAAUUCGAAUUCAUUUCUCGGACUGUUCUAAUCUCUUCUACAAUCUUUUUUUCAACAUCGGGUCUCGUAGAUACAAUCCAGAAGAACCAUGUCAGUGCCGACGAAGUAGUCUCGCGGCCAGCAACAAGGAAAUUUAUCACGUUAUCGCGAAGGAGCUCUUCUGAGUGGUCUUCAUACGAUGCAAAUCGGGACAGGAGAUCGCUCUUCCGAUCCAAAGGCCUCUCCUUUCGUGACCGAAUAAUGUCAAGAGCAUAGUUGUGGACGAUCGAGAUCCCUUCUUUUAUGCGCUGCUCCGAUCCGAUAUUGAGUAGCUUCUUGAUCCUCCAUGUCACAUUCAGUGCAUCCAAGAGCCGCCAUCCGAUGAGGUACUGCGUUUCUCCGAAAGCCCGCAUGAAGUCAGAGCUCGUGCCAGCAAAGCCUUCUUCAGUGAGGGAAGCGGGAUCAGCAUCGAAGGCCACCUUGCAGAUGUUAUCGAAACCAAAACGUUCGAGAACGUCCUGCAUCUCGACGAUCUCUUCUCUUUCUUCCGCUUUGUUCAACAACGGCAACAAUCUGUGCUGUAUCUCAAAUUGCACUGCAUCCACCACGAAGUUACGGAGGGAUUUCGUAUUGAAUUCGUGGCUCGCCACUUUUCUCUGCUGCUUCCAAUGCUCCCCAUCAGAGUUAAAGAUUCCACGGCCAAAAAAGUCUUCGAACAAGGCGAGCGAGCGCUCGCCCUUCGGGUAGUUUUUGAAGUUGAUUUUCAGCAUGUGCUCCACAUUUGCGGGGUUGGCGGUGAUGACGCCGCUGGCCUGCCCGAGGCUUCGGAAGACCAUCGUGCGCGUCGGGCUUGCGAGGAGGAUUUCGGUCGUCCAUUCGAGGAACCGGUGGCGGUUCUUGAUGAACUGCGGGAGGUAGCCGAGAAUUGGGUAGGGUUUUAGGCCGUAGGCGGUGGGUUUUCGUGGUUGGUCUUGACGGAAGAAGAUGUAGAGGAAGAAGGGGAGAAGGAAGAGAAGAACUAGCAGUUGGAGAGUGAAGAGCUCCAUAUCUACUAUCUCACUGCAUUCAGCUAGCGAACAAACACUUGGUAGGAAAACGAAGAAUAAUACAUGGUUUAUAUAAUGCGUUUCAUCGGCUAGCUUUUUUAUUUUAUUUUUUAUUUAGGACCCCAACAACAGGCAAUUUUGAAUUGGUCCCCUUAUGGUUGAGCCCUUGUCUUGUCUUUCUCUUUCUUUUUCUUUGUUUUCGUUUCCUUCUCAAGUGUAUGUUGUGGAAUUUACAGCCCACCUAUAGUUUGGUUUAGAUAGCUGUGUAAUUAGAUAUAUUUUAUAUUUUAGAUUAGGUUGAUUUAAUUGACCAUUAAUCCUUUAGAUUAGAUAGCGGUUGGGUGGGAAAGGAGUUUACGGUAUGUUUUUUUUUUAUUAUUCUAUUAUGGUUUGGUUCGAAAAUAAGUUAUUCUUAUUUAUUUCAACAUGAAUUGUGUUGUUCAAAAUUAAAAUUUUUUAUUAAUUAAUUUAUAAAUAAUAAUAAUAAUAAUGAAAUAUUGCUAAUUAAUAACUAGGAGCGUAUUUAAUCUAGAUGGAGGUUGAUUUUCGUGGAUAUCAGCUAUCAAGCUCUUUACCCCUUACACUAAAGACGGACGGUAGGUAAUUCAAUCAGGAUUUAUUAAUCAUAGAAAAAGAAGGCUAAGAAAACUUGUGUAGGCCUCCGCUACAACUUAAAAAAAUUAAUUUGUAACCACCUUGGGCAGCAAGGAAAAUCCUUGGGCACCAAGGAAAAUGCUUACUUGGGCACCAAGUACAUGUGUCCAACUCGUGGCCCCAUCUCCGAUUCUCCGCAGCCAUCACCCUUCAACAUUGAACAUUAAUUGCACUACAAAAAAUAGCAAAGUAGGAACAGAAAUCAGAAGCUGAAAAAAUAAAUAAAAAGAAAUGGUUAAAUAAUGAAUGAAGACCCCUUCGCCUAUUGUCCACCGUGAAAUUAGUCCCUCAACAUAAUAUUUUGUUUUUUUUUUUUUCUAUUUUGAAUUUUUUUAAUUGAAUUUUUUUUAUCAAAUAACUUUAAUAUGAUAUAUUUAGCUAUGAAUCCAUCAAAUUUAAUAGUUUUAGCUACUUUCUAGAACAUAAUUCUAUUUUUUUUUAUUUUCGAUUUUUGAAUGUUAAAUAUUUGAAUUUCUUCUAAAUUGUCACGCCCCAAGUCCCGUCAAUUUAGACCACUAGGAAUAUAUAUGCAACAGACCCGCUGGACAGGUAAAUUUUUUUUCUACCUGCACAAAGCGAAAACAUAAGCCAAUCUGUAUAACACACAUGAUAUAGAUAUAUAAACUAUCAGAGUAUGAAGCUACUAAACUGAACUAAAAGUUUACAAUGCUUGACUUCCCGAAAUAUUAUAUUAUUUUGUUUAUACAAAAAGGGCACUUUUUUCUAGACCAGCUAACCAUGAUCUAUUUAGCUCACGAUGGUCUUUGCCGUCAUCCCAUGCUGCGCCGGCAAAAGAAAGCUAUGAAAAGGUGUAAAUAACAACGCGAUGAAAACUUUAAAUAAAUUUUUAUUGGGUGCAACUGCCAAAAGUAAUACUCUACACUCACUUGGUUCAAAAGAGGCAUUAGUAGAUAAUAACGAUAACUGGAAUAACUAUGCAAGAGAAAGUGUUAUAACUACUAUGCCUCAAAUACAUAUACAAUUAAUAUGUGAUAAUGACCAUAAAGUUUUCAAUAAUACACAAUAAAGUUUGGAAUAUAAAAAAUCCGUUCAUGAAAUAUGAUUAAUAUAAGUGAAGUGAGAGAUCGUUAGGAUUUCUAUAAAUAUGGCCCAAUUAAUCAUGUUCAAAUAUGGAUUUACAAUAAAUAAAGGUCAUUCUUAGUAAAUAUAGAACUACUUGAUAUAGUAUAUUUAAUCUCUUUCCCAUCUAUUUAAGUUAAGUAGAAUCCUAAUAAGACUUUGAUGAAAAGUCAAUCUGAACUCUAUAUAAAGAGGGUACUGGUCCUGCCAUCUUUUCAUAUGCAUUCUGAUGAAUAAUUACCAUCUAUUUCACACCAAACGGAAGAGUGCCUGAAAAAGAAGGGGAAACCAAAUUACUCAAGUUCAAUUGGUAACGUUUAGAUUACAGCUAAAUUUUUCACUUUCGCAGAUUGAUUAAGAAUUUCUUCUCUAUGGUGCUCUGUGAGUUAUAUUUUAUUCUGUUUAGGAUCUUGGGUAUGGGUAUGUAUUUAGUUUUCUUGCUUUUACAUACCAAUAUACAUCUAUCUUCCUCCAAACUCUUUAUCUUGUACUGAGUCGUAGAACGAAUAGGUCCGGAAUAGCAACUAGAGAGGCGAAGGAAGGUGAGCACCGUACAAACUUGAUAAGCAAUUUUGCCUAAGUCCAUAAUAAUUGGUAUCAGGGUGGGUUCGAGAAAUAGGAACCAUGUCGUCAUCAAAUGCUGCCAUCGUUGACAUCGUCCCUUAGCCCAAGCGGCCCAAGCGAGGCAAGAGGAAAAAAGCCAUAGACCCAUGCGAGGGAGUUCGUUUCACUCAAGGACCACAUAGGCUUGAUGAAGGAUAUUGUUGCGAGAGUGGAAAAGCGAUAUUCUAUUCUAUCCCAACACUUAGGCCCUGUUUGGAUGCAUAGUUAAAAAACUCCAUGGAAUUUUUAUUCUAUGGUUUUGGUCUAAACGAAAUACGGAAUCCUGUAACUACAAAAAAUUUCCACAGCUUCAUUUUUAAGCUGUUUGGAUAUAUAUCAUACAAUUCCACAGUAUUUAUAAUAACUAAAUUUCUAAAAUUUUAAAAUUCAAAAUUCAAAAUUCAAAAUUUAAAAAUAAAAUUGUAAAAAUUAAAAUUCAAAAUUCAAAAUAUAAAAUUAAAAUUUAAAAUUUAAAAUUAAAAAAGUAAAUUAGAUUUUAUGUUUUAAAUUUGAAAUUUGAAAUUUGGAAUUUGAAAUUUCAAUUUUGAAAUUUGAAACUUUAAAAUUAAAAACUUAAAGUAUACCAUUUAAACUUUAAAUUUUGAAAUUUAAAAAAUCUAUAAUUAAAAUUUUAAAUUUCAAAUUUAAUAAUUUAUAAAUUUACAUAUUUAUAAAUUUAAAAUUUUAAAGUUAAGUUUAAAUUUAAAUUUUGAAGAUUGAAAAUUAAAAAUUAAUUUGAAAUUUGAAAUUUGAACUUUUUGAAAUUUGAAAUUUGAAAUUUGAAAUUUGAAAGUUGAAAGUUGAAAGUUGAAAGUUGAAAUUUGAAAUUUGAAAAUUGAAAAUUGAAAAUUGAAAUUUUAACUUUUUGAAAUUUGAAAAUUGAAAAUUGAAAAUUGAAAAUUGAAAUUUGAAAUUUGAAACUUGAAAUUUGAAGUUUUUGAAAUUUGAAAUUUGAAAUUUAAAAUUUGAAGUUUUUGAAUUUUGAAAUUUGAAAUUUAAAAUUUAAAAUUUAAAAUCAAAAUUAAAUUUGAAUUUUAAAAUUUUAAAAUUUGAAAUCUAAAAUUUUAUGUUGAAAUUUAAAAUUUAAAAAUUGAUACAUCUUUGGGAGCCCAAAAUAGUGGAAUUUUUUUUCCUUUGGUUAAAGUGGAUUGUAAGUUUACUCCAUUUUUUGGAGUAUAGUAUAACUAUGCUCCAAAAAUUACGUCAUUUUUUUUUUCUUCCAAACGCUUCAUAGGAUUAUUUUCCUACCGGCGUAGCAUAGUUUAACUAUGCUACGUUUUUAGAGGUAUCCAAACGGGGCCUUAGAGAUGAUGGAAGUAUGGGCUUCAUACCACGAAGGACCUCGCUACAGCUACCAUGAUGACCUUUCGCUGAUCACUCGAGCAGUUUCAGGAUGACCUCACUCACCACCAGAAUAAGCGAAAGGUGCUGGUGGACGACCUUGUCGCUAGGGUCGAUGCAGCCGAGGGCCUCAAGAUAUGGAUGACAAGCCUCAAAAAGGAUGUGGCUCGCGGUGUUGAGGCAUAGAAGGGGUACAUACCAAAGGUCCAUAUCCCUAAACUCUGGUGUUUCAAGGGCACGCAAGAUGAGAAGAAAUUGAUAACUUCUUAUAGCACAUAGAGCACUACCUCAAGGCAUUAUGAUUAGAGAACAAGGAAGGGAAAGUCUAAACCGCUUCCAUGUACCUCACCAACAGUGAAUAAUUCUAUGGUGGCGUCGGCAGGCGACAGAGGCUGAAAAGGGCCAAUGCGAGCUAAGGAGGACUUUUUGCACGAGCUCAAGGCACAGUUUUAACUAGAUCUUGUGAAGAGGCAACUUCGAUAGCACAAGCAUAUUAGGACACUCAACAAGUAUGUCAAGGAGUACUCUAAAUUGAUGCUAGCUACCACCAAUAUGGCCGAAGAGGAUCAACUAUUCUUCUUUUUUGAUGGGUUCCAACCAUAAGCGAACAAGGAGCUCGUAGGACAUGAUGUUAACGAUGUGAGCUUCACUAUUGCCUUAGCGGAGAAGCUACUUGAGUAUGGGAAGGAAGAUCAUACUCAUGGAAAACCACCUAAGAUGGGCAAGGCCAAAGGUGGGGGAGAUUGUUGUGAACAAAAUGACAACUAGGCAACUUCCUAGCUUUGCCGAAGGCAAUGCCGAUGCCAUACCUUGGAGUUAAGCAUCAUGGAGGAGACAGCCCCUUGCAUGGUUCCGGCUAGCCGCAUCGAUGUCACGCCCCGGGACCCAGCGGAAGCCCACCCGGCGCGUGCCCAGACCCACCAUACGUCUAAAACAUAUAAGACGUCUAAAAACAACAAUAAUAAAAGCAAUAAUAAAAGACAUCUAGGAGUAUCAGAGCAUAAUAAAUGUCUAAAUGCUACAACAAGGGAUAAGGAUAAAGCUAUAAAUCCACUACAUAAAACAUAAAGUGUUAUAAGGAAAUCUCAGAUACAAGUGCUAUAGGUAGAUACAUAGGUGGUCUCUAUACAUGGAUACAAAACCUCUCACACUCUCAACUACAAAAAGAAGGAGUAAACCACCUAGGCAAAGAACCGCUCCUCGCUAGCUAGCUAAGCAAUCCCCUUACCGCGAUCCCGUGCCUCCGCCGGUGCCGAAGGCUCUGAAAAGGAAACCAUAAAACAGGGGAGUGAGAACUAUUAAAAAUAGUUCCCAGUAGGCAAUUACUGACUUCAGUGAAUGCACUACAAGGCCCAAAGCUACAAAAGAUGUCAGUGAGAGUAACAAUAGAAAAGCGAAAGGUAAGUAAAAAUAAUGUAACCUACUACCACAUGAUAUCUCUACUUAGCGUAAUUAGCAUAAGUAUGAAGCAAUUAUGCAUGAAGUAAAAGUCUCCAACUAUCAUAAUGUUCACAAUGCGAAAUAGUAAAGUUCCGUUGUUUACUAUUCUAGUCAAUGUCCAAGUAGUACACUAAGUCAUCAUCUGUCCACAUGUCAUAGUGAAUACUCAAAGUCAAAUCUGAAGAGACCCACCCGAAGGCUGUCUAUGGCCCUGAGACCCACCCGUUGGCUGUCUGGCCGGUGCCGAGCCUAAUGGCCCCGUGGUAGUCAUCAUCCCCACCCUAGGAAUGAGCCUGUCCCACGGCAAUCCACUUCGGCGCCCAAUCCCGCACGGCGAAUAUGAAUCGCGAUGGCUAUCUCCGGACUGCCGGCUUGUAGGGAGCGACCCUCACAAGCAUGUGCGAAUGAGCACAAUGGCAAGUAGUCAAACGAUCUGUCGCAAGUACCAAGUCCUCAUGUCUAGUAACAUGGAAUGUGUCAAGUACCCCAAUGGCCUAUCCCUAUGUCAUCAUGUCUCUAACAUGGAAUGUGGCGGAUAAGUAGUGGCCUAUCAAUAUGUCUCUAUGUUGCAGUUUCAUAGUUUACUAGUUUCAAGUGCCCCUUUAUGACACUCUUGUUCUCUAUGUCAGAGCAUGGCAACUAUGUUCCAAAGUACAUAUUCCAACUCAUAAUCCUCAUAAGUGAUGUAUUUUUCACUUGCAAAUAAACACUUUUCCCAUAUGCAUGCAUUCUACUCAUAUAGCCCUACUAUAUAGUGAAAUUUUCAUAAUACACAAGACAUGCAUUUUAAGUGCUCUAAAAUUCAUAUAAAUUUCAUUUAGCAUAGAAAUGAAUUUAAAAAAUAUUUUACAACAAGUAGAAAGAGCAUAGGGGCCAUUUCGCCACAUUUUCACGAAGCCAAACCCACCAAAAUCGACUUCUUCGUUUCGCCGAACGAAGGUAUCCACAAGCUUCCUAGUACCCUAGAAACAUCAAAAAUAGGCUCACCCAAACGAAACGAAGAGCAAAUAGCUCAAUCAUUAAGCUUCUCAAGCUAGGGUUGGGAAAAACUCACCUCAAGUGAAAAACCCUCUCUUAAUCUUCAAAUGGAAGGUAGGGGUCUUCCAAUCUAACUCAUAUAAAGGUUCCAAACCAUUCAAAUGAGAUCAAGAAGCCUCAAAUCCAAAAACCCCAAAAAUAAACCCUAAAUCCCAAAAUCUAGGGUUUCAUCUAGUAAAACCUAGGAAAACAUGUAUCAAAUGGGGAUUACAAGCUACCAACCACAAGAGAAGCUCCAAUCCAAGCUCAAAACCAAGUAGGGUUGAAGUUUGAUCUACCACAAAGCUCCAAAAGUAAGCUCCAAGCCUCCAAAGGUGAGAAAUGAGGAAGAAAAUGGUGCUCCAAGGCCUCCAAGCAAGCUCCUCUCCUCUCCUUCUCCUUCUUCUCCUUUCCUUUCUCUCUCUAGAAGUGUAGGAAGAGUGUGAGGGAGAGAAAAUAAGAGUGAGAGGGGAGGAGAGGCUGCCUAUAUCCUCUAAGGUAACAAAAUCCAGCAAGGCCCCUCAAAAACUCAAAUUUACAUCAGCCCGGUCUGGGCAGUUUUCGCCUAGAGGGACCGGUCUCCCCGACGUGGGACCGGUCUCUCAGCCUGCCCCCGAAAAUCCAACGUUCGGGAACCAGUCUCUCCAUGUGCGGGACCGGUCUCUCCCCGCGCAGACGCGCUCGGGGACGGGUCUCGACUGCCAGCGACCUGUUGCCUCGCCGGCUACGCAGCACUGUUCACUGGGGGACCGGUCUCUCCUAUCAGGGACCGGUCCCCAAGAGUAAAAACUCUCAGGACUCUGCCAAAACUCUCGAGAUCGAACUUUUAGGCCGGGAUACCAUCGACGGCCCUCCACCAAGUGUGGAAAAGUUCGGAAUAUAAAUCGAACACUCAAACCUCGCAAUUUGCAAUGGUCCAGUGCGCUACAUUCACCCCUCCUAAAAAGGAUUUUCGUCCGCGAAACUCGAAAGCAAAAGCAUACCUCAAGACUCCAUCUGAAAAAGAUGGGGAUAGCGCUCCUGCAGCGCAAUCUCUAGCUCCCACGUGGCCUCCCGCUCCGCGUGGUUGCUCCAAAGAACCUUUACAUACGGAAUAUCCCGAUUCCGCAGCUUCUUCACCUCGCGAGCCAAAAUCUUCACGGGUUGCUCCUCGAAGCUCAGAUCCUCGCGCAGCUCCACUGGUAUAGUUCCCAAAACAUGAGCUGGAUCACGAAUNGGCAGUUUUCGCCCAGAGGGACCGGUCUCCCCGACCUGGGACCGGUCUCUCAGCCUGCCCCCGAAAAUCCAACGUUCGGGAACCGGUCUCUCCCUGCGCGAGACCGGUCUCUCCCCGCGCAGACGCGCUCGGGGACCGGUCUCAACUGCCAGGGACCGGUUGCCUCGCCGGCUACGCAGCACUGUUCACUGGGGGACCGGUCUCUCUUAUCAGGGACCGGUCCCCGAGAGUAAAAACUCUUAGGACUCUGCCAAAACUCUCGAGAUCGAACUUUUAGGCCGGUAUACCCUCGACGGCCCUCCACCAAGUGUGGAAAAGUUCGGAAUACACAUCGAACACUCGAAUCUCGCAAUUUGCAAAGGUCCAGUGUGCUACAAUCGAGCUAGCGGCAACCUAGACCCUCUUCAUUUUAUAAUUGCGAAAAGGGAUGGGGCAUAGCGAGAUGACUUACCUUGCGGCUAUUUGCGAGGUAAUGAUGAGGGCCUUGAGAAGGUCUUUUCGAUUGAAAUUGAUGCAGUCUUGAGGGAAUUCUAAAAUGUUAUGCCUUAGGAACUACCCAAGUGACUCCUACCUAAGUGGGAAGUGGACUAUGCGAUUGACCUCGAGUUAGAAGCCAAGCCACCAAUGACAACACCAUAUAGAAUAGUCCAGCUGAAGCUCGAGGAGUUGCAAACCAAUUGCAAGAGCUCCUCAAUUGAGCUAUAUAAGACUGCCAAAGGCACCCUAUGGAGCACCAAUACUAUUCUAACAGAAGAGCGACGAAAGACUAUGACUCUGUUUUGAUUAGAGGCCACUCAAUAAGGUAAUAGUAAAAAAUAAGUACCCUACCACUUUGGUUGCAGACUUUGACCAGCUAGGUGGGGUGAAGUAUUUCACCAAGCUCGAUCUCCACUCAGGGUAUAUCAAGUCCGAAUUGUGGAAGUAGAUGAAGAGAAGACCACAUGUGUGAUGAGGUACAUGGCCUAAGAGUUCCAUGUCAUGCCAUUCAUCCUGACAAAUGCACCGACGACCUUCUGCACUCUUAUGAACAAGCUAUUCCACCCUUAUCUCGGUCACUUCAUGGUAGUGUGCACCUCAACGUCAUCGUUGUGUAUAGCAACACAUUGAAGGAGCAUGUCGAGCAUCUAUGGACCAUCUUUCAUGUAUUGCGAGAGAACCAGCUUUUUAUUAAGAAAAAGAAGUGCUCCAUCAUGAAGAAUUAGGUACACUUCCUUGGCCAAUAGAUGGGCCAGGGGCAACUCCACAUGGACCACCGGAAGGUGUGGGCAAUCUACGAGUGGGGGACACUCAUGAUAGUGUAUGAACUGUAAUCCUUUCUCAAACUCAUCAACUACUAUCGCCGCUUCAUCGUGUGCUACUCUACACAAGUGGCUCCGUUGGCGGACCUACUAAAGAAGAACUAGGCAUGGGAUUGGACUGCUUAGUGCGCGGAGGCAUUCGAGGACCUUUAGUGGGCAAUGACGGAGGAUCCAGUACAACGACUUCUUGAUUGCAAUAGUCCAUUCAAAGUGCAUAUAGAUAUUUCGGACUUUGCCAUUGGCGAUAUUCUCAUGUAGGAUGGGCAACCCAUCACCUACAAGAGCCGUAAGCUGAAUGACAUUGAGCGGCGAUGCAUUGUUUAGGAGAAGGAAAUGAUCGUCGUGGUGCAUUCUUGAGGACUUGGCAUUACUACCUUCUCAGGAUCAAGUUCGUGGUGCAGACGAACAUUAGCACCACGAGCUACUUCCAAACCCAAAAGAAGGUAUCACCAAAGCAGGCGAGAUGACAAGACUUCUUGGCGGAGUUCGUGAAUCCCGAAGAGCAAUCCCGAAGAGCGAUCGUGAAUCCAGGUUUAUGGGCAAGUUUUGGACAAAGAUAUUUUAGAUCUUAGGGUCGGAGUCGCUCUUCUCCACCAGUGUCCACCCACAGAUGGAUGGGCAAAUAGAGCGGGUGAACACCCUAUUGAAGGAAUACCUAUGACACUUUGCGGGUUCCUACUAGAAGAACUUGGUGCACCAUAGUAAUGUGGCUCAAUUCUCUUACAAUUUGCAGCUGAGUGAGUUCACAAAUCUAAGCCCAUUCGAGCUGGCGAUAAGGAGAUAACUGACGGCCCGACACACAGUCAGCGAGUGAGGCCACAGCCCAUGGCCCUCCAAUUCACUUCAAAACUACAGAAAAGGGCGAGAUCGCCAGGGCCUAUCCAAAGAAGAAGGCCUGCCGAAUGACCAAAUGGGUUGAUGCAACGCGGCGGCCAUUGGAGUUUGCUGAAGGUUAUUGAAUCUUGGUUAAGUUCUGCAACCCCAAUAAUUCAAGGCCUUUCGCAAGAUAUACUGUGGGCUACUACAGAAGCUUACAUGUUUAGUAUGCGAUGAAAAUUGAUUAAUUAAGUUUUGUAUCUCUUUCAUUUAGUUUGCAUAUUUAAAAUAUAAAAAAAAAUUGAUUUCUUGAGUAUUAAUAUUUUUCUUACUCUAUGAUUUUAUUGUUGUAUUAUUAUAAUUUACGUAUAAAAAAUUUAGUUAAGUUGUUUCAAAUUCCUUUUAUUAAUUAUAUAGGAAUAUUAUUUAUUAUUAUAUUAUAAUUUAUUAUUUAUCUAGUUAUUUGUUAUUUAUGUAUAUAAUUAUAUUUUUAACGUCAUUCACUUCUGCCAAGAUAAUAAUAGAACUGAAGAAACUUUACUUUCAUAGCUGUAAAACCAAACAGCUUUGGAAAGAAGUAAUUUUUAUCUAAACUCUACUUUUACCACAGUUCACUUAGGCCCACCCAGGCCUAAAGUCCACUUUCGGUAAAACCAAACAGGCCUAAAACAAAGGGAAACUCAAUUUGAAGGGCGAUGGAUUCCCUCAGGGCCAUUUUGGGAAUAAAAAUGAAAGAUUUUAUAGAUUUCUUUUUCUAAAAAUGUAUGGAUAGUCCCUGCAACGCUCCAAUGUUGAAACUUACUGUCACGCCCCGGAUUCCUCGUUUCCCCGGGUACGCUAACAGACCCACCGUAUACAUAGAAAUUUUUUCUGUAUACGAAGCGAAGCUGUACAAGAACCAGAAAUCAAACACACUACAACCAGUAGUAUAGAGCUGCUAGAAAGGAAUAAAACAUAUAUAAUCACAGUGGUUCAAUACAUACAUAGUAUCCGGGUACAAAAAUACUCGCUCCAGCGAGAUACAACAUCCGUAUGUAAAGAACCAAAAACUACAACUACUUGUAGUUGGUGCUCCUCUAGCUCUGCGACUCGGCUGGAAAGGCUCUAACUCGCAACGCUUUUGCCACGAUCAGUCUCAGUAGUAGCAGCAGCCGGAACAGAAGGCUCUACAAAAGAAGGAUAACAAAUGGGCGUGAGAACUACUGCAAAAACAAGUAGUCCUAAGUGGGUACCGCCCUCAACUCAUCGGUUCACCCACCAAGUCUACAGAUGUAUGCUCAAAAGAUAGUAAGGGAACCGGAAACAAUCUACAGCUACAUGCCACUAUACUAUCAUGAUCCGACACUACUAUCUGUAGAAUAAGACAAGCUCUCACCCAAUCUCACUAGGGACUGUAAACAUACCGUCCCAGGAACUGUGAAUACACCCGUCCCGCCUGUCGAAGCUAUACAGCUACCUCCGCACUAAGCAGUCCAUGGAGAGCAAGUCCAAACAGGACACAACGACACCAACACAAACGCACAAAGUCCGACUCCGGAGUGGCACUCGUGGGCGCUACCCAACCAAGUAUGCAAGCGUAUCUCUGUCGAGCUCAAUCAGGCUCUCACAAGCUAAGAUCCAAGUAAAUAGGGUCCAACUGGUCUAACAACCAACUCACGUGCCCUCGGCAUAAUCUGAUGCAACAACAGCAAUCUAGGUCCACCGUCAACCUCAACGGCACCCGACAGUCCGGAACAGUCUAAACACUGCUGUAAAAAUAAGCUCGGCAUCUCAGCCCGAGCGUAAAUACAUUCUACACUAUUCUGAAUAUCCACCACCCCCAAACUGCGGUGAUACAAACAAACUACGGCUUCUAGAGCUAAAUCUGGUAGUUUUAACAUAUGACAGUGUAGAAACGCUAGUUUUCUCCUAAGUCAAUUCCAAGUCCAAUAUGUAUAAUUUAUCUAACUUACUACAGUAUGCUCCAAAUUUAAAUUUUAUUUAACAUACUAAUCAAUGAAUUCGAGCUAAAAAUAUGAUAUACAAUUGCUGAAAAUAUACAUGUUGACUAUGCGUACACUUAGGAGGAGAAUCCAAUGAUUAACCCACCUUAAGCGCUAAAUCCACGGCAGCGAGGAGUCGCCGGAAUUCCUGUCAGUCUCUGCCACAACCAGCAACCAAACAAAUCCAAGGUCUACACAAAAUCCACCAAAAAUCUAUCAAUACUCUAAAAAUUCAGCACUUAAGCUAAUAUCAUCCAAUUCCAAUGUCAACUUUACCUUCCAAAGCUCAAAUCAGAUGAAGGAAGGUCCCAAAACCAGUGGGCUGUGCUGGAGUAUCAAGCUUUGGUUCACAACCCAGCUCCUUCAAAGAAUUGCUCCAAGAAAAUCACAACAAACUCAUUUUCAGCUCAAACCUCCAGCAGCAGAGAAGAAUGCGAAAAUAACUGAGCUAACCUUAACCAAAUUCUGUUAAUUUAGGCUCCAUGAAUUUUUCUUAAAGUCUAGAAUCCAACAAACCAAGUUUCGUGGUAAAUGGAGCUUCCUACAUCGUACACGAGUCGAAACACCGAAGGUCGCCGCUAGAAAACUGCUAGAACUGCAGCCCUCUAGUUGAAAGUGCACAAAUUGGAGGAAUUGAAGCAAUUUGAGGUGUUAGUAGGGGUGGAACUGGGCCGGGCUUGGAUCGGGUAAUACUAUGCCCAAGCCCGGCCCAAAAAAAAAUGUUGGGCUUCGGGUCGGGCUUUUACCCAAUUUUGUAUAAGGCCUGGCCCAAGCCCAAGCCCAAUGCCCAAUACCCAUCGGGCUUUGUGAAGGCCCAUUUUAUACAUUUAUCAUAUAAUACAUAAAUACUUUUAUUUGUAUAAUAAUAUGUACCAUAUAUUUACUCAUAGAUAUGUAUAAUUAAUUAAUUAUAUAGAAUAAUACUAUUUAUUAUAUCCUAAUAUGAAACUAAAUAUUUUGUUAAUAUAUAAUAUAUCCUCAUAUAUAUAUAUAAGUAUAUACCAUUAAUAACACUAUAUACUAUAUAUGAUAUAAUAUAUAAUUUAUUCUUUUUAUAAAAAAAUAUUAUAUAUAUAUAUAUAUAUAAUUAAAUAUUUUAUUUUAAUAAUUAAUAUAUCGGGCUUUUGGGUCAGGCUCGGGCCGGGCUUGGACAUGCCCAAAUAGGCCCAAAAUUUUUUCGGGCCUAAAUUUUGAAGCCCGGCCCGAACCCAAAGUUAAAUUUUUAAUACCCAAAGCCCGGCCCAAAUAUGGCCCAUCAGGCCGGGCCUUGUUUAGGCCCGGGCCCAGUUCCACCCCUAGGUGUUAGAUACAAUUCUAAACUUCACUGUGAAGAAAGGAUGAAAAGGGUUCACUGGAGGUGUACAUAGCCUAUUUAUAGGGAGGUGAAAAGACAAGAUAAGCCCUAAGAACUCCAAACACAAAACUGCUGCCCCUGCAGAAAUCCCCACUUUCGGGCGCCCAAAACAUACAUCUGUGCGUCCAGAAAUCUCCAGGCUAUACAAAAGCUUCCCAUUGGUUCCUCCGCCGUGGUGUGCUGCGCCCAUAACCGGCUCCGGUGGACCUCACCUACCACCAGCCACGUGUCAGCGCAAACGAUACUCCCGAAGUGAAUUUUCGGACCCACUUCUGGACGCCCGAAACUAGGAUCCGAAUUGGCUUUCAGUUCUGCUCAGUUCUGCACUCAAGUUCUGGGCGAUCGAAACCUUGUUCUGGACGCCCGAAUCUGGCAAAACUCCAGUUUUGCUUAUUUGAGUGCGCCGAGUCCAUUUCUACAUCCAUUUCGUGCAGAAUUAACUCCAACUCAGUCCGACACUCUCCAGAUGUGUCGACCAGUCACUAAUACUGUAGCUAAUUCUAUUCAAACUUCUGGAACACUACACUUACAUAAAAACUAACUCUUGACGUUAACACUUCUGUUCUCAAACAUUUGAAAAUUAUAAUUGUAAUAUUUCUUCUCUAAUUUCCUUUUUUUUUUUGGUAAAUUUAUUAUUUUAUAAGCGUAUAAAAUUACCUUUUGUAUUCUAGACUCGGGUUUUCUUGAAAAUUCAACAAGAAGUAAACAAGAAAAACAAAUUCUGAGAACAAAGGCGUAAUAUCCAUAAUAAUAUCAGACGUCAAGUCUACCUCGCGUGAGUUAAACAUGACAUUUCAAUUGGGCUGAUGCAAAAAAAACCCAAUAGGCAUAAUAGGCCCAGUAGACCAAGUCGUCAGUACUUGGGUUAAAGAGUAUAUCUUUAUAGUGAUUCCAAGGGUAUGUUUGGUUGGCCAAAAGUGAAGCACCGAAAAUAAUAUUUUAAAAAGUGAUCUCAUAUCGAUUGUUUGCGUUGCGAAAAUAAAUAUAAAAGUCACUUUACAAAAGUGGACUAAUUAAGUGAAUUAUAAUUAAAUCUUAUAUUUUUUACUUCGGCUCAAAAAAUGUAAAGUGGACUGAUUAAAUGAAUUAUAAUUAAAUCUUAUAUUUUUUACUUCGGCUCAAAAAAUGUAAAGUGGACUGAUUAAAUGAAUUAUAAUUAAAUCUUAUAUUUUUUACUUCGGCUCAAAAAAUUCGAAAGUCACCAAAAUUACAAAGCUUAACUAAAAUGAUAUAUUUGGUCUUAAAUUUUAAAUUAUGAAUUAAAAUUUGAAGAAAUGUUUUUAAAUUUUAAUUAUAAAUUCAACUCGAUUUAAGUUUAAAUUUAAAUUUUAAGAAUAAAAUUUUAAAUUCCAAAUUUAAAUUUUUAAUUUAAAUUAUGAGUAUAAGUCGUUUGUUUAUAUUUUCACUUUUUUUACUAUAAUUAAAGAAUCAAAAUUAUAAAAUUAUAGUUUUCAUGUUUCACUCUAUAGCUAUCUAAAUAAUCGAAUUGAAAAGAAAAAAAAAAUGAGUUUUUUCAAUUCAGCCACUUUUGGAUAACUAAACGUCGCUCUAAUAACAAUCAAAACAGUAACCUCAGCAGCACCAAAAAGAAAUAUUCCUUACCACUCACAAACGACUGUAAAAACACACCUAUAAAGUUGCACUCAUGGCGCCCCGCAUGCAUUUUCUUUGGACUCGAAAGAGUUGAUUUAGGGGAGAAAAAAAAAAAGAUGGAAGAAACUACCAAAUGCCUUAGAACGGAUUCAUUAUUUACGCGGCCACAGAGGGAUCGAGCACGUGGCCCAUGAAUAACACCGCUUCGGUUGUGUCCUCCCUGAUCAAGAAAAAGAACGGGUGAUCAGCAACGAAGUCCGGAGGAGGACGAGGCGCCCUGCAACAACCCUCAAGCAUCAUGAAAGAAGCGGCGGCUGCUUCGGUUCCUUCCUCAUUAACUUCGAUGAAAGAUUUGUGCAAAAUCAAUGUUCGGGCGAUGGGUGAAUCGGCUAUUUCAGUCAGGCCCCCGUCCCCACAGAAGAGCAAAUGUACUCCCAUCUCUUUUAGAACUCGAGGUGCAUCCAACCCGCAAGAUAUUUUGAAUUUGGGGAUCUUCAACUCUCCCAAUUUGACCUCCCGCUUCGGGAGAUGGCGGUUUAGGAACUCGGGAUCGGAACUCAACUUAUCAAUUAAACUCCAUAGCCCAUCUCGAUCGUCGGGCAAGAAAAUAUACAUGGAAAAUUGUCUCCUAUCAUUCCCUUUUCUAUAUGGAAGCCUUUGUCUCCUAUCAUUCCGUUUUCUAUACGGAAGCCUGAGCACUUUGAAGUCAUCGAAUGAAGACAUGAACUGCAUUUCCGGAUUCGUCAUGAAGGGCACUAGCACAGAAUUUCCGUUGAGCAAGUGGAACUCACCGUCUUCCGUUCCUGAUGCGUCGAAUCUAUCAGCCCAAGCCCCUUUAAAGUAAAUAGCAUUACCGAGCACCACCCUAGUGAAUUGGUUGAUAGCUCUACCGGAAAUCAUACUCUUUGUAAGACCAUUUGUUGCCGAACUAAUCCAUGAGUUAAUUUGAUCAGUAAUUUCAUCAGCCUAAAUUAAUAGGAAAGAAAAAAAAUAUUAAUAAACAAAUACAGCAGCGUUCAGAUUGGCUUAGAAAAAAGGGGGGAAAAACCGAAUCUGCAACACUGGUUUACCUGCCAACAAUUUUACUGAUAAGUAAAAUUAGCAGCAGAAGAAAUAUUUUUGUCUUUUAAAAAAUUAAAUAAGUAUUAUUUAUUGAAGUUGAUUUGCAAAACCGAGACUAACAAAAAAAUCAAUAUAAUUCCAGCUUAAUCAAUACCCAGAAUCCUUAAUUCCUUAUCAUUCCAAAUUCAGGAUAGAUAACUAGAGGGGUGGCAAAAGGAUAAAAAUAAAAAAAAAAAAAAGAAAGAAAGAAAGAAAAAGUUCAGUUACAGAAAGAUUAGUAUGCAUGGACUGAAGUGAGAAUUUAUGGCAAGAUAUAUAACAAAACUGGAAGAGAAACAUAUUCACCACUGUUCAGCUGCCUCAAAUUCAAGAAUACUAAAAACAAAAACUUAGAAUCUUCUUCACAAUAUCAGAGGGGUUUGUUCACUGCGAACUUAAGCUGUUGGAUUGGUCUCUGCGAUUGCGAUUGCGAUUUGAUAUAGCAUCAGAACCAUUUCCAUUUCUAAUCUAGUUUCUUCUGCUUCAAUUUCAACCUAGAUUCAGUUAGAUUCAAUUCGACCUUGUUAGCGGGGGCAUGUUAAAAUAGACACCAUAUAUGGUUCUCACCAUUCCUCUACCUGCCAGACUAAUAAUCUUUUAUGUUGAUCCGAUCCCCCUAAGACAUGCAUAUUCAAGCUAAAACCCCACAGAAACCCUAAUAACUCGAGAAACGAACAACAAAAAGAAAAAGAAAAAGGAAAAGGAAAAAGAAAAAAGGAACAAAAAUCAUAGAGCAUGGAUUCGAACCUUGGUUUGGAAAUCGACGGAUUGGAUCUCCGCCUUGUAAGCGGAGGCGGCGAUCUCCGCGAACGCGGCCUGGAGGGAGAGGGAGGCGUCGACCCACACCCCGUUCGCGAAGGAGACGCGGGGCCCACCGCCGGCGGAGGCGUCGGCUAGGACGCGGCCGACGACGCGGGCGGCGAGGGUGGCGACGUCGUCAGCGGUGGCGCCGGGGCAGAGCACGGCGAGGAGCUCGUCGAGGGCGGGGCCUCGCGUCCCCGCCGCGGCGAGGCUGAGGAGCGCGUGCAGGGAGAGCGGCGAGAACGCGAAGUUGGCGCCCUUCUUCGACUCGGCGGCGGCCACGCGCUGCGCGAGGCGCAGGGCGAACGCGGUUUGGUGGGCGACGAACUCGCUCAGGCUCAUCGCGCGAAUCGCCUUCUUCGGGGCGAAGCGCGUUUCCGGAAGCGGCGGCGGAGGAGGAGAAGAUGCUAAGCGUCUCGUACUCAUCAGCACACGAGGACGGAGGGAGGAGGAAAGAGACGAGACGAAAGAGCGCGACGCGGAGAACCUGCCUCCUUUCAAAGAGAGAGAGAGGGGUCCAAAACACACAAGAAAAAAAAUUAAUGCGCACUCGCGGCUGAUUAUUUUUAGAGCGAAAAUAUAAAGUAGGGGACCGGUAAUUUUGUUGAUCAUUCCCCUGCCGAAAUCACAGCGAUUCUCAUUUUCCAAAUAUCUGCUUCAAAAUUUUUUUCUUUUUUUUCAGAAACAAAUUUAUUUUAAAAUUUGAAAGGAAAAAUUACUAAUUGUACGUAAUACUGAUCUGACGGUUAAUUUGCAUCUCGCCAAGUUGUAUAGUUUCAGCUCUAUCCUUAUUCUGGUGGACAAAACUGGGCGCCCAAGCUUUACCUUUUCUGUUUAUUUCCAGAGCUACGUGCUCAUCUCCACUUUUUUGAAUUUUUUUAUAAAAUAGUUUUUUAAAAUUUUAUUAUUUGUGAAACAAUUCUGUUAAAAUAGUAUUUAAUUACUAUUAAUAUAAUAAUAUAAAAUAAUAAAAAUUAUUAUGUGAUGAUAAAAAAAAAUAUUCUAAUUAAUAUUAUAUUUUUUUUAACAAAUAAAGAAAUAUACUAUCGAUCUUAUUUGUAAUAAUACAUAUUAAAGUACAAAAGUUAGAGAAACAAAAUUAUGGGCCAAAAUAAAUGCUGAGGUAAAGAGCAAAAUUCAACACUGCUCUAUUAUCUAGUUAAUUGGUAUAAUUUGUUAAUUGGUAUAAUUUGAUUUAAUUUGAUUUAAUAGUGUUUCCUAAUAAAAUUGUUAUUCUAUAUUUGAGCAUAAUUAUAAUAAUAGCGUUUAAUAGUGUUCCCUACUAAAAUUCUAGUUAAUUGUAUAUAUAAUUAUAUUUAAUCGGUAUAAUUUGAUUUAAUUUGAUUUAAUAGUAUUUCUUAAUAAAAUUCUUGUUAAUUGUAUAUAUAAUUAUAUUUAAUUGGUAUAAUUUAAUUUAAUUUGAUUUUAUAUUUAAUUGGUGUAAUUUGUUAAUUGGUAUAAUUUGAAUUAAUUUGAUCUAAUAGUGUUUCCUAAUAAAGUUGUUAUUCUAUAUUUGAGUAUAAUUAUAAUAAUAGUGUUUAAUAGUGUUUCCUAAUAAAAUUGAUAUUCUUUUUUUGAGUUUGACACGUGACAAGCAUAUGAAAGACACGUGGCAGUUUUACACAAAGGGUUCUACUUUAGUAUAUAGUAAAUAGAUAGAUUAUAUUUGAAAAACUAAUCUUUUUUUUUGCCGGAGGGAGCAAUUUUUUUAAAAACAGUGAAUGAUUCACCGACUUCAUAAAGACGGUGAAAGAUUCACCGCCUUCCUAAUUUCUCACAAAAAUAGUGAAUCAUUCACCGUCUUUCACUUAUUUACUAUUUCUUUUUAUAUCUCAUAUAUAAUCCUAACAAACACAUAAUAUUUCAACAAAUUAUAUAUAAUUUUAACAAUCUGAAAAUUCUAAUAAUUUAUCCAUACAAUUCUAACAUUCAAAAAAAUCCUACUAAUCUAUCCAUACAAUUUUAAUAAUCAAAUAUCACAUAUAAUCUUAACAACUUUGAAAAUCCUAAUAAUCUAUCCAUCCAAUCCUAAUUAACAAUCAAAAAAAUUUUAAUAAUCUAUCCAUAUAAUGCUAACAAUCAAAGAAUUCUAAUAUUCCACAUACAAUCUUAGCAACCUUACUCUUUUUUUUUCUAUUUCCCGUACUAUAAUAUAUGUAUAAUUUUAACAACCUUAUUUUUUUCUUUUUUCUAAAAAAAUUAUGAAGAAGACGUUUCACCGUUUUAAUGAAUAGGGGUGGUAUUUAAAGUUUU
Molecule: long non-coding RNA, 70593 nt
Filed under: Ananas comosus (pineapple)
Lineage: Eukaryota; Viridiplantae; Streptophyta; Magnoliopsida; Poales; Bromeliaceae
Description: long non-coding RNA (ACOM_LNC020885)
Source: RNAcentral